RNAcentral lists this long non-coding RNA (50449 nucleotides) under Hordeum vulgare. RNAcentral describes it as "long non-coding RNA (HVUL_LNC012643)". Lineage: Eukaryota; Viridiplantae; Streptophyta; Magnoliopsida; Poales; Poaceae. The record is from RNAcentral.
AACACCGGGCCUACCGACUGGAUACACUCGGUGCGCCGUAACCUCUCUGGAGUGAAACUGCUGUACGUUUCCGGGUGCAUUUACUAGCAUUUAGAGCAUACGUUACCUGUAACGUAUGCAUUCAAUCGCCACUACUCCACCCUUGAAUCAGAAUCGUUGUGGAGGGCAGCGCACUCUAUAUAAUCCGCCCUCCCCCACUGGUAAAAGGGUUAGCAAAUCUUUGUACUCCAUAUCACACUCGGUAACAAGCUCCGAGAGCACUGAGACGUAGGGCUGUUACCUCCACCACAGAGGGGCCUGAACUCAUACAACCUCGCCGUAUCUAGGACUCUGCCCAUCUCAUUCGUACCCUACACAUCUACUGUCAGGCUUAUACCCACGACAGGAACCGUCCUUAGGAACUGAGUUCCGUGUAUGUAAUCCAAGACAAGAUACUACCACAUGCUGGGCCCUCAAAUAUGACCCCGCUCGACUUAUUAAUAGCUUAUUACUCGGUCCAGGAGUUGCAAGUAGUUUCUGGUGUUUAUAGUCAUGCUGGAGGCCGUGCAUAGUGUUGACCUUAGAGGUGGACUAUGAUGCGGUAGGCAGUGGCACGGUGUACCAAGUGGCACCCGGAUGGUGGGCUUGGGAACCCUGCGCACAUCGUUUGGGGUCAUGGUGGAAACUUCGGCCGGACUUCCGUGCGGGUUACCCUCAGAUAGGCGAUAAACCUAGACUAGGUAUUAGCAUGGUUAACGAUCGUGGCCGACUCCCUCGCUGGGCUUCCGCUUGAAGGUUGACGAGGUGCAUGACGUGCACAUACCAAUAAGUGGCGAGAGCGUGUGUGAAGAAGUACACCCCUGCAGGGUUAUGAUCUAUUCGAAUAGUCGCGUCCGCGGUUAUGGACUACUUGGAAACAUAUGUUGUUCAUAGACAACUAUAAUGGCUACUCAUAAAAAUGUCAAGAUAAGUGUGAGUGUCAUGGAUGGCAUUUCCGUAGGGUGACAGAAUGAUUCCAUGAUGGUGUAUUGAUGUGGAGUUGGUGGACUCGUGUGCGAGAAAACAAAGUUGUUGAAAUUAUUUAAAAAUGUAGCUUUGUCUCGCCAAGAGUCAAAUGCUGGCUUUCUGCAUGAAACCCCACAACUCCUUGUCCAUACAUUGCAUGAGUAGAUAGAUUAUUCUAAAGUCUUGCUGAGUACUUUUGUACUCACGUUUGCUUAAUAAAUUGUUGCAGAGGUUGUUAAUGACCCUAAUGGUGGGUUAUAUCUAGACGUUGACGACGACGAGUAGCUGGUGUCCCAGGUACGAUCUGGCCCUAGGUUGGGCAUGUAGAUAGUCAGGCCAUGUGCCUUUUUACCUUUCCAUCUGUGUGUACUCAGACAGUUUUAAUCUUCCGCUGGCUUGUAAGACUUGUUUGAAUGACUUGUGAUGAUGGGUCGUGAGACCCCUAUCUGUGUAAUAUUAUGUGUGAGGCUNNNNNNNNNNNNNNNNNNNNNNNNNNNNNNNNNNNNNNNNNNNNNNNNNNNNNNNNNNNNNNNNNNNNNNNNNNNNNNNNNNNNNNNNNNNNNNNNNNNNAGGAUCGGGGUCCCGACAGAUACAAGACGCUCCAAGCAAAACACAUAUCAUGUGGUGAAUAAAAAUAUAGCUCCAAGUAAUGUUACUGAUGAAUUGAAGACAAAAGAGGGGAUGCCUUCCCGGGGCAUCCCCAAGCUUAGGCUUUUUGGUGUCCUUGAAUUUGGAUAGGGAUGCCUUGGGCAUCCCCAAGCUUGAGCUCUUUCCACUCCUUAAAUCUUUGUCCAUGAGAGCAUCACCCAAAACUUGAAAACUUCACAACACAAAACUUAAACAGAAACUCGUGAUAACAUUAGCACAAGAAAACAAACUACCACCACUUUAGGUACUGUAGCAAUCUUGAUUUCUAUUUAUAUUGGUAUUGGACUACUGUAUUCUCACUUUUCCAUGGCUAGUACCCCCCCCCCUCGAUACUAUCCAUAGUUUCAUCAAAACAAGCAACCAACUCAACAAAAACAGAAACUGUCAAAAACAGACCGGUCUGUAGGAAUCUGUAUACUUCGUAUACUUAUGGUACCUCAAAAAUUCUGAAAAAUUACGACUGCCUGGGUAAAAGGCAUAUCAACCAGUAGCAAAAUGAAUCAACUCAAAAUCUCUUUCUGAAUAAAAAUGAAAAAUCAUCUCGUGAGCGAAAAGUUUCUGUCUUUUUCCAGCAGGAUUAAACAACCCUUACAAAGACUAGUCAUAAAGGUUUUGCUUGGCUCAAACACAAAAAGAAACACAAAAUACACAACCAUAACAAGAUUAUGAUUGUGCAGACGCAAAAAAAAUAUAAAAGAAAAAGAUAAAUUCAUUGGGUUGCCUCCCAACAAGCGCUAUUGUUUAACGCCCUUAGCUAGGCAUUGAUAAUUCAAUGAUGCUCACACAAAAGACAAGAAUUGAAGCACAACGAGAGCAUCAUAAAGCAUGUGAAAAUCACAUCCAAGUCUAACACACUUCCUAUGCAUAGGCAUUUUAUAGGAGAACAAAUUGGCAAGACAACCAAUAGUUACCAAAUGCAAGGAAGAAGUAAGAGACAAUAGCAAUCUCAACAUAACGAGAGGUAAUUUGGUAACAUGAAAGUUUCUACCACAAUAUUUUCCUCUCUCAUAGCAAUUACAUGUGGGAUCAUAAUCAAAUUCAACAAAAUAGCUAUCACAAAGGAUAUACUUUUCAUGAUACACAUGCAUGCAAAGUUGACGCUCUUUAAAAAUAGUGGGAUUAUCAUCAACUAAAGUCAUGACUUCUCCAAACCCACUUUCAAUAUUAUUUCAAAUAUCAUUGCAAUAAGUAGUGGACAUAGCAAAACUAGCAUCCCCAAGCUUAGGGUUUUGCAUAUUUUUAGCAUGAUUGUCACUAAUAGGAUUUAUAGUGAAACCAUUGCAAUCAUGCUUUUCAUUCAAGGAGCCCUCGUGAAUCACUUCAUAAAUCUCUUCAUCACGAUUUUCAGAUUCACGCAUCUCAAGAAAAACUCCAUAGAGAAAGUCAAGUGCACUCAACUCACUAGCAAUUGGUUCCACAUAAGUGGAUCUCUUAAAGAGAUUAGCAAGUGGGUGAGGAUCCAUAUCAAUAGAUUUUCAGCAAGCGAAGAUGCAAGCAUAUUAAAGGCACAUAGCACUCAAGCAAAGGAAAGGCAAGCGAGAGAAAAGGGCGAACGAAAAAGGCAAACGAAGAAAAGGGCAAAUAUAUUUGUAAAUUUUUGUUUUUCAGAAGUGCGGGAGAGGAAAACGAGAGGCAAAAAAGUAAAUGCAAGAGAUGAGUUUGCGACACUUACUUGGAUGAGUUCUUGACUUGAUCNNNNNNNNNNNNNNNNNNNNNNNNNNNNNNNNNNNNNNNNNNNNNNNNNNNNNNNNNNNNNNNNNNNNNNNNNNNNNNNNNNNNNNNNNNNNNNNNNNNNUUGCAUAUGAUUGUUAUUGAAUGUUGCCAUUUAUUUCGGUAGGCUCCGCAACCCCGGAUUCCACCGAAUAUCCGUCUGACGGAUAUCGUUCCUCCUCUGAGCAACAAGGCAAGCAACCCCUUUGAUCAUUCCGAUAAUUCCCAUGUUCUUGCUCCUGCACUUAAUUAUUGCAUUAGGAUCAAAUGCUUCAACUGUUUUUGCCACGUUAGUUGAACCCACUUCCUUUGCAUGACCUAACUUUGUCACAGUAAAUAGCCGAACCUUGCAACCUAGCAUACCUGGUAGUUGCUUGAGCUAUGAUGUGCCUUAUCCUGCUAUGCAUGCUAUGCUUAGAGUUGUGUAUGGUCUGUCAUCUGGGAGAUGAACAGAAAUGUGGAAUGUGUUCGGUGAGCAAAGGUUGUGUGUUGAACUUGAUUUGGUAAAGGUACCGGUGAAAGGCUGUGUAGGAGUACAUGGCGGGUUGUUUCAUUGGAACCGUCCUUAGGAACUGAGUUCCGUGUAUGUAAUCCAAGACUAGAUACUACCACAUGCUGGGCCCUGAAAUAUGACCCCGCUCGGCCUAUUAAUCGCGUAGUACUCGGUCCAGGAGUUGCAUGUAGUUUCUGGUGUUUAUAGUAAUGCUGNNNNNNNNNNNNNNNNNNNNNNNNNNNNNNNNNNNNNNNNNNNNNNNNNNNNNNNNNNNNNNNNNNNNNNNNNNNNNNNNNNNNNNNNNNNNNNNNNNNNCUGCCAAACGAGGAGAAGUUGCCUACCAGUUGGAACUUCCUCCGCAUCUUUCCAAGGUUCAUGAUGUUUUCCACGUCUCGCAACUCAGGCGUUGCUUUUCGGAUCCUAUCCGUGAAGUGGACCACGAAACGCUUGAUCUACAAGAUAACCUUUCAUACCGAGAAUACCCCGUGCGUAUUCUUGAUCAAGCUGAGAGUAACACUCGACGUCGAAACCUCAAGUUUCUUAAAGUUCAAUGGUCAAAUCAUUCUGAAAAGGAGGCAACUUGGGAAAGAGAGGAUCGUCUCCGACUUGAAUAUCCUGCGUUAUUCCCGACGACUUCUAAAUCUCGGGACGAGAUUCUCUUGAGUGUGGGUGAGUUGUCACAUCCCUAACACUUUAAGCAAGUUAGUCUUGUGCUCAUGUCUUCUUUGCAUUUGCAUCUAAGGAGUUUCAACAAAAACAAGAUAGUGGCAAAGGAAAAACUCAAAACCCUAGCUACUACUUUAAAUAAAGAAAAUCUCAAACUAGUUGAAAUCAAUGAACCCAAAAUGGCCUCAAGAAAUGUUCAAACUUUCUGAUAAAUCAUGAAAGUAAAUGAGCAUUGGAGAAAACUAUUUUCUUGACACAUUAAGCAUUUUUUAAAUUAAUGCAAAAGCCACUGGUUUCAAAUUUUAAAUUUGAAAUCAGAAACUAUAAAUUUUCAAAAAUGUUGAAAACUUUGGAAAUGGUUGGGAAUAUUAUAACAAUAUUUCAGGAGGUCUAAAAUAGUUUUUACUUUUUGUUUUGGAGCUGAAAUAAAUAACACAACAAUAGUUAGCAAAACAGAAAAACAAAAACAGAAAAAAAAAUGGGAAACCCUUACCUGUCGUCUAGCCUGGCCCGGCCCAUCUCCCUGGCUCGUCCCCUCCCUCGCGCCAGUAGGAGCAGGAGGUGGCCGCCGCCUCCUCCGGCGCGGCCACGCACCUGUGCGCCUGCCUGGCCGCCGCCUCGCGCUGACAAGGCUGGGGAUAAGCUCCCCAGGGUCUCCUCUAUCCAUUCCCCAGCACCGUUCUUCCUCCCCUCUUGGAUCUUGCCCUCCCUCCUGCUGCCGCCAUUGGAGCCGAGCUUGAGCUCGAGCCGCAACACCUCUAGCCAUGGGAACCCUCCUCCGAGUAGUCUGUUAGCUCCGCAUCGUCGCCCUGGUCAUCUCUGCAGAAGCCGAAGUCUCCCCAAGCUCUGCAUCGCCCCCAACGCCGUCGUCUUCCACCUCCGGCCGCCGGACCUCUCCCGUCGAUUCGCUCCCUCCGGCACAUCCUCGAGCCCCUCAUCAGCACCAUCGGAACCGCCGUGAGCUCGUCGUCGUUUCCCCUCUCGCCCCACGCUCUCCCGUGCAUCGUAGCCUCGUUCCCCACCAAGGCCGAGAGCUCCUCGCCGCCGGCCAUGUCGUCGCCGUCGCUGUGGUGUCCGAUCCACACGCUCGAGCUAGGGUUCGAGCUCCUGGAGCCUCGAGGAGCGUGAUGAGCCCCUCAGCUGCCCUCCCCGUGCCCUAGAGCCGUCUCUCAUAGAAGGCCGAGCUUCGGCCGCCGCUCCGGCUCGUCGCCGGCGCCUCUCCCGGCGACCCUAGCCUCCCCUGAUGCCCCUGCCAGAUCGGCCACUUCGCCUGCGUGCCGUAGCUGCAAACCGCGUUCGAAUUGGUGCUGUGCAGCGCCGUUUAGGUCGCCUCCGGCGAGCCCUCCGCCAUGGGCCUGGUCGCCGGCGACCACCCUCCGGUGGGGGUCGACGUGGCAAAGCUAACCCAGCAGCUCAGGGCUUAAUCACUCGCUCACAGUGGGCCCAAGGCCAAGUCAAACCCCAAUUAGGACUGGUCAGCGCGGGAUUAGUCCCAGAGAGGCUGACCAGCGGGUCCCCCCUGUCAGGUUUGACCUGAACAGGUCGGCUGACCUGCUGACGUCAGUCUGAUGCAAUAAAUAGAAUUUCCAGUAUAGAAAUAAUUCUAGUAAAUUGCUAAAACUUGUAAAAAUCAUAGAAAUUAAUCUGUAACUCCAAUGAAAAUAAUUUAUAUAUGAAAAAGUAUCAGAAAAAUUCAAGGAUUCUGAUUAUGCUAUUUUCAACUAUGUUUGAAAAAGUUACAGAACCCUAAAUUGUGGAAUAAGGAAUAAUUCAAUUCUUAUAAUCACUUUUUAAAUGGAAUUUGCAAAAAUAUUCAAAUUUCAUUAUGUUUGCAAUGAUCACACACUGUCCUAGUUACAAAUCAGUACCAUAACAUGACAUCUCAUGCAAGCCAACAUCAAGUUGAUCUGAGCAUCAGGUCGAAUCAAUUAAAUCGGUAACCGUGAAUACCCCGUUUGAAGUGAUACCGAAUAUGAUUCAAAUCAACAACUCUAAACCUAAUACAUGUUGAUUAUAAUAACUUAUCACCUUGCAUUCUCAUGCCAUGCUCAUGCAUCAUUUUGAUUGCAUAUGAUUGUUAUUGAAUGUUGCCAUUUAUUUCGGUAGGCUCCGCAACCCCGGAUUCCACCGAAUAUCCGUCUGACGGAUAUCGUUCCUCCUCUGAGCAACAAGGCAAGCAACCCCUUUGAUCAUUCCGAUAAUUCCCAUGUUCUUGCUCCUGCACUUAAUUAUUGCAUUAGGAUCAAAUGCUUCAACUGUUUUUGCCACGUUAGUUGAACCCACUUCCUUUGCAUGACCUAACUUUGUCACAGUAAAUAGCCGAACCUUGCAACCUAGCAUACCUGGUAGUUGCUUGAGCUAUGAUGUGCCUUAUCCUGCUAUGCAUGCUAUGCUUAGAGUUGUGUAUGGUCUGUCAUCUGGGAGAUGAACAGAAAUGUGGAAUGUGUUCGGUGAGCAAAGGUUGUGUGUUGAACUUGAUUUGGUAAAGGUACCGGUGAAAGGCUGUGUAGGAGUACAUGGCGGGUUGUUUCAUUGGAACCGUCCUUAGGAACUGAGUUGCGUGUAUGUAAUCCAAGACUAGAUACUACCACAUGCUGGGGCCUGAAAUAUGACCCCGCUCGGCCUAUUAAUCGCGUAGUACUCGGUCCAGGAGUUGCAUGUAGUUUCUGGUGUUUAUAGUAAUGCUGGAGGCCGUGCAUGCUGCUGACCUGAGAGGUGGACCGUGAUGCGGUAGGCAGUGGCACGGUGUACCAAGUGGCACCCGGAUGGUGGGCUUGGGAACCCUGCGCACAUCGUUUGAGGCCGUGGCGGAAACCUCGGACGGACUUCCGUAGGGGUUACUCUCAGAUAGGCGAUAAACCUGGACUAGGUACUAGUGUGGUUAACGGUCGUGGCCGACUCCCUCGCUGGGCUUCCGCUUGAAGGUUGCCGAGGUGCAUGACGUGCACAUGGCGAUAAGUGGCGAGAGCGUGUGUGACGAAGUACACCCCUACAGGGUUAUGAUCUAUUCGAAUAGCCGUGUCCGCGGAUAUGGACUACUUGGAGACAUAUGUUGUUCAUAGAUAACUUCAAUGGCUACUCAUAAAAUUGUCAAGAUAAGCGUGAGUGUCGUGGACGGCAUUUCCGUACGGAGACGGAAUGAUUCCACGAUAGUGUAUUGUUGUGGUGUUAGUGGACUCGUGUGCGAGAAAUCAAGUUGUCAAAAUUAUUUAAAAAUGCAAGUUGUCUAGCCACGAGUCAAAUGCUGGCUUUCCGCAUGAAACCCCACAAUACCUUUUGAUACCUUGCAUGAGUAGUUAGUUCUCCUAAAGUCUUGCUGAGUACCUUCGUACUCAUGUUUGCUUAAUAAAUGUUGCAGAGGUUGCUAAUGACCCUAAUGGAGGGUUCUUCGUAGACAUCGACGACGACGAGUAGCUGGUGUCCCAGCUACGAUCUGGCCCUACGUCGGCUCUGUAGUAUAGUAAGGCCAUGUGCCUUCUAGUUGCCCUGUCUGUACCCAGACAGUUUAUAACUCUUCUGCUCGCUUGUAAUUGUAUGACUGUUAUUAUGGGUCGUGAGACCCUUAAUGUGUAAUAUUAUGUGUAUGGCUCUUACGAGCCUCUUAAAUAAAGUUUGUAUGUUUAUGGUUAUGUUGUGAUGCCAUCGAUGUAUCUAUACAUAUCGGUAUGCCAUGUGUACGUGUGUCGUACUUGAUAUGUAUGGGGUUCGAUUACCUAGUCGUGAACUUUAGUAGCACUCCUUACGAGGAAAUGCCCCUUUGUGAUCCAAUGAGCCUUGGUAGUUCGCUACUGCUCCGGACACAUUGGUUGACCGGCAUGUGUCCUUCUUAGCUGCUGUGUCUGUCCCCUUUGGGGAAAUGCCACGCGAUGUAAUGGAGUCCUUGUAGCUUGCUACGACUCGUCUACAUUCGCUGAUGACCGACACCUGCUUUGUUGGGUCAUGUAUGCCUGUCCUUGUACGGUACUGCCACUUUGGUUUAUGACUAGUCAUGUCGAUCCGGGUUCUUUGACAUUGUAUUGCUAGCGACACUAUCGCAUAUGUGAGUCAAAAGACGCAAACGGCCCCGGCUAAGGUAAGGCUGCAGCCGUGGAGUUAACCGUGCGUGAGACCACAAAGGGAUGCGAUGUGUUACAAGCUGGAUUCCUAUGGCUUAGGAUCGGGGUCCCGACAUCACCAUAGACCUAUGGGUCCAUAGGUAGUAGCUAGAUGGCUUCUUCUCUCUCUUGGAUCUUCAAUACAAAGUUCUCCAUGAUCUUCAUGGAGAUCUAUCCGAUGUAAUAUUCUUUUGCGGUGUGUUUGUCGAGAUCAGAUGAAUUGUAGAUUUAUGAUCAGAUUAUUCUGAUCUGUCUUAUGCAUGAUUUCAUAUCCUUGUAAUUCUCUUCGAGUUGUGGGUUUUGUUUGGCCAACUAGAUCUAUGAUUAUUGCAAUGGGAGAAGUGCUUGGUUUGGGUUCAUAACGUGCGAUGACCUCACCCAGUGAUAGAAGGGGUAGCAAGGCACGCACCGUGUUGUUGCCAUCAAGGGUAAAAAGAUGGGGUUUUCAUCAUUGGUUUGAGAUUAUCCCUCUACAUCAUGUCAUCUUGCUUAAGGCGUUACUCUGUUCGUCAUGAAAUCAAUACACUAGAUGCAUGCUGCAUAGUGGUCGAUGUGUGGAGUAAUAGUAGUAGAUGCAGAAAGUAUCGGUCUACUUGUCUCGGACGUGAUGCGUAUAUGUAUGAUCGUUGCCUUAGAUAUCGUCAUGACUUUGCGCGUUUCUAUCAAUUGCUCGACAGUAAUUUGUUCACCCACCGUAAUAUUUGCUAUUUUAUGAGAAGCCUCUAGUGAACACUAUGGCCCCCGGGUCUACUCCACACCAUAUUUUCAGCCUUACUCUUUUUUUUCGUUGCACUUUCCGCCUUCAGAUCUCACUUUGCAAUCAAUCUUGAAGGGAUUGACAACUCCUUUAUAGCAUUCGGUGCAAGCUCUUUUGUGUUUGUGCAGGUNNNNNNNNNNNNNNNNNNNNNNNNNNNNNNNNNNNNNNNNNNNNNNNNNNNNNNNNNNNNNNNNNNNNNNNNNNNNNNNNNNNNNNNNNNNNNNNNNNNNAACCCCUACAGGGUUAUGAUCUAUUUGAAUAGCCGCGUCCUCGGAUAUGGACUACUUGGAAACAUAUGUUGUUCAUAGAUAACUUUAAUGGCUAUUCAUAAAAGUAUCAAGACAAAUGUGAGUACCGUGGACGGCAUUCUCGUAGGGAGACGAGAAAGGAUCCAUGGUAGUGUAUUGUUGUGGAGAUAGUGGACUCGUGUACGACUUCUCAAACUUGUUCAAAAUUACUCAUAGUCGUAGCACAUAUUAGCCAAGAGUCAAAGCUGGCUUAUUGCAUGAAACCCCACAACCCCUUUGUUGAUACAUGUGCAUGAGUAGAUAGAUCUGAUUUAUAGUCUUGUUGAGUACUUUUGAACUCAUGUUUGCUUAAUAACUGUUGCAGACGACACCCACGAAGCAUCAGGUGGGUUCUAGCUAGACGUUGACGACGUCGAGUAGCUGGUGUCCCAACUACGAUAUGGCCCCUUCGGGAAGGAACUGUAGAUAGUCAGGCUUUAUGCCUUUUACCUUUCAUCUGUUUGUACUCAGAUAGCUUUAAACUUCCGCAUGGCUUGUAUGACUUUGCGUGUAUGACUUGAGUGUCACGUCAUGUGAUCCCUACCUGUAUGAACAUAUUAUGCAAGGCUCUUCUGAGCCUUCUAAAUAAAUGUUGUGAUGUUGUAUGGUUAUGUUGUGAUGCCAUUGUUGUAUCUAUGCAUAUUGAGUAUGUCAUGCGUAUGUGUAAUGUGCUGCAAUAUGUAUGGGAUUCGACUCCUAGUUGUGUGCCUUUAGUGGUACUCUUUACAGGGAAAUGACCAUUCGUGCUUCCAUUGAGCCUUGGUAGCUUGCUACUGCUCCGGGCACAUUGGUUGACCGACAUGUAUCCUUCUUUGCCGCUCUGUCUGUCCCUUCGGGAAAAUGUCACGCGGUGUAAUGGAGUCCAUGUAGCUUGCUAUGACUCGUAUACACUCGCUGAUGACCGACACCUGCAUUGCUGAGUUAUGUAUGCGUGUCUCUGUACAGAUGUGACACUUUGGUUUAUAACUAGUUAUGUCGACGUGGGUUCUUUGACAUUGGAAUGCCAGCGACACAUUUGCAUACGUGAGUCAGAAGACGUAAACGGUCCCGGCCAAGGUAUGGUGGCAACCGUGGGGACAACCAUGCGUGAGACCGCAAAGUGAUGUGAUGUGUACAUGCUAGAUUCCUAUGGCUUAGGAUCGGGGUCCCGACAGCAUUGGUGUCAGAGCCUGACUGACUAUAGGAUUACCAAGCCAAACUGGUCGAGGUUGAGUCUAGAAAUGAUUUAGUUAUAUAAGGGAAUUGAUUGUGGAAGGGAACAUAAGGCUCUUUUUACUUCUAUUCUCAAGUCAUUCUAUUGUGAGUCACCCUCAUCUUUUCUAUGGGGAUUAAGAACUAGGAUAAUUAUCUAUCUCCGAGGACCAUGUGUUACUACUCCGUAGACUUGUAGGGAAAAUUGUUUGAGAGUCAACUCCAGUUUUCAUGUUUUCCUAUCUGAGUAAAAGUUGUUGACCAUGGAACCCUUAACUUGAAAGUUGAGUGGUUAUGCUAUACAAUAUUUUGCAGGAUGUCUCAGAAUUGUUUUUGAGUAUUUUUAGCCAUUAUGCUAUCUGAUUUUUGCUAAGAGCUCUAAUGCCUUUGCAUUAUCCUCUAUUUCAGAUGCGUCCUCGUCCUUCUCGACAGGUGGUCCGUCUCACUAGGUGCAUUGAUGUACGUGUCACACGCCCAUGCUGGUCGGAGUGAUGUCAGUAGCCGGUUACUGCUCGUACGCAUAGUAUACAGUGGAGGAACAGUACCAGGACUUUAAUCAGAGUUAGUAUCUCUGUACCGUUAGGGUAUAUCCAGCAUACCCUGGAGCUGUGGAGCCAAUCCAUUGGUUUUAUGGAUUGGGGGUUACCAUUGAUAUGGCGGUUCAGGAUGCCGCUUACGCAAUGUUGACCCUUAUGAGAGCCAAUCACGCAUUGCUGCAAAACACAGAGUUUUGCUAUAUUCCAGCCUCUCAGCCAGGAGAAGAAGGUUAUCUCAGUGGAGUUUAUUAUGAUUCUUCUUUGGAGGACCCGUUGUUGCAGGUUACUACUCAGAUGCUAGAGAACAGACACAGAGAUGCCCGUGCUCUUCGCAUGGAGCUUUAUGCUACUCGCGCCUAUCUAUGGACAACUUUUACACAGCUAACGCUUGUUGUUCAGACAUGCUAUGGGGACAUGGAGAUGUUGAACCCGAUACAAACUCAUUUGCCAGCUCCCAUAGAUUGGCCCGUUGUUGAAGGUGUCACCCCUCUUCGUGGACCUCUGUUGCUGCCAGUCAGGCGACCUAGGCCACAUCCGUGUCCUUAUGGUUCCCAGGGAUCUCAGGCUAGGGUGUUUCCUCACCCUCAGGUUCAGCUCCCAGAUCACGUGGGAAACCUUUAUGAGAUGUUCUACGCGGAUGCUUGAGUUCGUGAGUGAUUGUAGUAGUGUUGUAGCAGUUGUAUUUUCCAUGGUCCUAUGUGUCUUGUGGAACAUAGUUGAGGUGUGAGUGGAGUCCCGGAGGCUUAGAUAAAUAAUGUAUAGGAAGCUUGGAAUGCCUCUGAUGAGUGGUUCCAUCUUUUCAGUAGUUUGCUUUUCAGCUUGGGCUUGUACUGAACUAUAUUAUGGUGUGUAUGAACCAUGGUGUGUAUAUGGUAGUUUGCUUGUCACCAUGAUGUUCGGAUGUUUAUUCCCGCAUUCCAUAUUGUUCAGUGAAUUCCUUAACUGUUUUGCUAGAGUUGAUAUCGUCCUUGUCUAAGUUGUGAGUUUUGUUUGUCAGGAUGGUGUUCACUAGGCUCAACCGUGCUCCUACUCAUGAGAAGGGUGAGAGAAGUCAAGCAGCUCAGGAGAACCUACCUCACCCGCUAUCUUUGGCGGAGGUUAUGCCUCAGGCAGAAAGGAACAAAAGAGAAACCAACCGUCUGUUGGAUCGUAUUGAGCAGAAUACGGCUCGCCAACAACGCAAUGAUGCAGUGACCCUUAAUGAUUUCGUGAAGCUGAAUCCACCCAAGUUUCGCCACUCCAUCGACCCCCUCGACGCAGAUGAUUGGUUGACUAGCAUGGCAUGCAAGAUCCUUCUGCCAACAUCGCCGAAGAUGAUAAGGUGACAUUUGCUGCCUACUUCUUGGAAGGCCCCGCCAACCUGUGGUGGGAAAAUUAUGAGGCUAUGCGCCCUGUUGGUCCAGUCGCCACCUGGACUGACUUCAGUCAGCUUUCCAUCUGCACCAUAUCCCAGAAGGUCUAAUGGACUGUAAAAGAGAAGAGUUACGUGCUUUCACUCAAGAAAGUUAGCUGUGGAUGCUUAUAGCCGCGAGUUUGGAAAUCUCGUCCGCUAUGCGCCAGAAGAGGUGUCGACUAACGCCAAAAUGCAGGCAAGGUUCCGCAAGGGACCGAGCCCUGAGCUUCAUCAUGAACUGCGCCUACAUGAGUGUGCGAGAUUCCAAGUCAUGUUAACAAGGCUAUCAGUGCUGAAAUCUGACAGACUGAUUAUGAAGCAACCAAGAAGCACUCUCGUGAUUCUGGUUCCUCAUCCUACUCCAGAUUUCGAAAGGGCCGGGUGUGGGUCCCGAACAGCUCUCAGCCGUCAAGGUAAACCGCGAGGCCAUCCUAUGAGGCGCCUCGUGCAAAUCAGACCAACCCUCCAACCAAGACAUAUGGUGGUCCAGGUGCCAAUGCUGCCUCAUGCACCAACCAAGUGGUCUGUUACGAAUGUGGAAGAACCAGGUCACUAUUCAUGUGAGUGUCCUCAAAACAAUGCUUCCAACCAACCUGGAAAGUCCGUUCGACGUGGCAAGCCAGGCAAAGCAUAUUGUGUGAAGCCAACCCCUGCACGUGGAGGUGUGAAUUACGUCUUAGCCGAAGAAGCUUCAGAAGACCCCGACGUCAUUCUGGGUACGCUUCUUGUCAAUCGCCAUCCAGCAUUUGUUCUUUUUGAUACCGGGCAUCUCAUUCAUUCAUUUCUGAAAGUUAUGCACAAUUGCAUAACAUGACAUUUUGUGAUAUGCCCACUCCAUUAGUGGUUCAGACUCCUUGUUCUAAAUGGAAAACUUCUAGAGUAAGCCAUGACAAUGAAAUUCUUGUGGUCAGGCUAGUCUUCCUAGCAUCUUUGAUAGCCCUUAAAUCUCCAUAUAUCAAUAUCAUCUUGGGUAUGGACUCGAUGUCAGCUCAUUAUGCCAAGAUUGAUACUCAUACUAGGAAUGUUCAGCUUACACAUCCAUCAGGUGAGAUAGUUAAUGUCUCAACUCGAGUCGCCAAGUGCCAACCUUAUUGUUUCAAUGCUAGCCCUCUUUCAGAGCUAGAAGAUAUUCGGGUAGUCCAUGACUUUUUGGAUGUCUUUCCAGAAGAACUGCCAGCCAUUCCACCUGAGGAGGAUGUAGAGUUUGUGAUAGAUCUUGUCCGAGGAACUGUACUAAUAGCCACAAGACCCUAUAAGAUGGCACCCUUAGAGCUAGCCGAAGUUAAGAAACAACUCAAUGAGGCCUUGAAUAAAGGUUUCAUUCAUCCUAGUUCUUCUCCUUGGGCUUGUCAUGUCCUCUUCAUCAAGAAGAAGGAUGGAACGGGUCGGAUGGUUGUAGAUUAUCGACGAGUUAAUCUGGUUACCACAAAGAACAAGUAUCCGCUACCCAGGAUCAACGACCUGUAUGAUCAGCUCGUUGGAUACUCAUUCUUUUCCAAAAUGGAUUUCAGGUUGGGCUACCGUCAAAUCAAAAUCAAGAAUGGGGACAUUCCAAAAACGACAUUUGUCACUCUUUAUGGCCAAUACGAGUACACCAUCAUGUCCUUCGGUUUAACCAAUGCUCCAGCCACUUUCUCUGGCUUGAUGAAUUCGAUCUUCACGGAGUAUUUGUAUAAGUUCGUCGUGGUUUACCUUGAUGAUAUACUCACUUACUCGAAGAACGAAAAAGAACAUGUUGAGCAUCUAAGGGUGGUAUUGAUGAAACUUUGAGAGCAUCGCCUUUAUGCCAAGUUCUCUAAAUGUGAAUUCUGGUUGCCAGAAGUGACCUAUCUAGGCCACGUAAUCUCUGGUAAGGGUAUUGCUAUCAAUCCCGAGAGAGUUCAAGCUGUCCUUGAUUGGACUCAACCUGAAUCGGCUAAGCAAGUUAGGAGUUUUCUUGGUCUAGCGAGCUAUUUUCGCCGCUUUGUCGAGAACUUCUCCAAGGUUGCAAAGCCUCUAACUAAACUCCUCAAGAAAGACAAAAAGUUCAAGUGGACCCCACAAUGUGAGCACAGUUUUCAAGAACUGAAAAUACCCGUGACUUCUGCACCCGCAUUGGUACCACCAGAUUUUUCUAAGGACUUUGCUAUCUAUUGCGACGCCUCGCGACAAGGAUUAGGUUGCAUCCUCAUGCAAGAUCGUCAUGUGACUGCGUAUGCAUCUCGACAGUUGCGUCCACAUGAGGAUAAUUAUCCAACACAUGAUCUAGAGCUUGCAGCUGUAGUCCAUGCACUGAAAACCGGUCGACAUUACCUUCUGGGUAAUUGUUGCAAAAUUUACACUGAUCACCAAAGUCUUAAAUACAUCUUCACCGAACCGGAUUUGAAUCUCAGGCAAAGACGAUGGGUCGAGUUGAUCACAUACUACGACUUAGGGAUAACUUACACCCCCGGGUAAAGCCAAUGUCAUGGCUGACGCACUAAGUUGUAAGUCUUAUUAUAACAAUCUGAUGUAACAACAAAGUCAACCACUUCCCCAUGAGGAAUUUUGGAAUCUAAACCUUCACAUUGUUCCUCAAGGAUUCCUUGCUACCUUGGUGGUGAAACCUAUCCUUGUGGAUCAAAUCCUAGAAGCCCAGAAGCAUGAUAUUGGGAUUUCUCGAAUUAAGAAGAAUAUUAACAGGGGAAAUGCUAAAUGCUUCUCGUUAGAUGAUCGGGGUGUUGUUUUCUUUGAGAAUCGCUUGGUUAUUCCCAAGAAACAACAUCUGCGGUAGUUGAUCCUUAAGGAGGCUCGUGAAUCUCCUCCAAUGAUUCAUCCUGGUAGUACCAAGAUGUAUCAGGACCUACGCGAGAGGUUCUGGUGGACUAGGAUGAAGAGAGAAAUUGCUCAGUUUGUUGCAACCUUCGAUGUUUGUCGUCGUGUGAAAGCAGAACAUCAAAGGUUUGCUGGCACCCUUCAACCUUUAGCUAUUCCUGAAUGGAAAUGGGAUAAAUUCGGUAUGGAUUUCAUCACCGGAUUUCCCAGGACUAAAAAAGGGAAUAAUGCUAUCUUUGUGGUCAUUGAUCGUCUUUCCAAAGUGGCUCAUUUUGUUCUUGUUCGAGGGAGUAUAACACCUAGCCAUCUAGCGAAGUUAUAUAUUUCCCGAAUAGUGUCUCUUCAUGGUGUUCCUUUGGAGAUUAACUCAUACCGUGGAAGUAUUUUUUACUUCUCGUUUCUCUGAAAGCUUCCAAAAUGCCAUGGGGACUCAUCUCUCCUUUAGCACUGCUUUCCAUCCUCACUUAAGUGGUCAAGUAGGAUGAGUCAAUCAAAUCUUGGAAGAUAUUCUUAGAUCUUGUGUUAUCUCUUUCGGCAUGAAUUGGGAGAAAUGCCUUCUGUUUGCCGAAUUUGCUUAUAACAAUAGUUAUCAAUCAAGCUUGGGCAAAGCUCCUUUUGAAGUUCUCUAUGGACGAAGGUGUCGACCACCUCUUAACUAGCCAAAAACGGGAGAGAGGCAAUUCUUUGGUCCGGAUAUGAUCCAGGAGGUAAAAGAGCAAGUUUGCAUUAUUUGUGAAAAGUUGAAAACAACCCAAUCUCGUCAAAAUAGCCAAUAUGAUCGCCAUCAUAAGGUUGUGACCUUUGAAGUUGAUGAGAAGGCUUACCUUCGGGUUACACCUCUGAAGGGUACCCAUCGAUUUAGUAUCAAGGGAAAAUUGGCUCCUCGUUACAUUGGUCCCUUUCGCAUUCUUGCCAAACAAGGAGAGGUUGCCUACCGGUUGGAACUUCCUCCGCACCUUUCCAAGGUUCAUGAUAUUUUCCACGUCUCACAACUAAGGCGUUGCUUCUUGGAUCCUAUUCGUGACGUGGACCAUGAAACGCUUGAUCUCUAGGAUAACCUUUCAUGUUGAGAAUACCCUGUUCGUAUUCUUGAUCAAGCUGAGCAUACCAAUCGACGUCGAAACAUCAAGUUUGUCAAGGUUCAGUGGUCAAAUCAUUCUAAAAAAUAAGCAACCUAGGAAAGGGAGGAUCGUUUCCGACUAGAGUACCCCACGCUCUUCCCGACGGCUUCUAAAUCUUGGGACGAGAUUCUUUUGAGUGGGGGUGAGUUGUAACAUCCCUAGUUUUCACUUGCAUUAUGCUAGCUAGAGUGUGCAUCAUGUUUAAUUUUUUGCUAAAUUGAAAUGGGGAUUAACAAAAACCAUAGCACCUCACCUAAUUAAAACAAUUCAAAUAGAUGUAAUUUUCAAAGAACCCAAAAUGGCCUUAAAAAUGUUCAUCUUUUCUCAUAAAUAUUGGAAACAAUAUUUUGGAGGUGCAUUGCAUUUUACACAUUCCUUUUGGCAUUUAAAAUAAUCCAACAAAGCUUCUAAAAAUGGCAAUUAAUGCACUAUAAUGAUUUUAGUUGCUCCAAAAUUGCUGAAACUUUUGUGAGAGUUUGAAAAUAUUCAAACUAUAUUUUAUAGAAUGCUUUAGUCAUUUCGUGCUAAUUAUUUUUGGCUAAAUAAAAAUAAAACAAAUAGUGAAACAGAAACAAAUAAGAAUAAAAAGGAAAAUGGGAGGCUCACCUGGGCCACUUACCCUCCAGUGGUGGCCCAACCCUCCCCGAGUCACCCCGUGUCGUCUUCUUGCUCUACAAGUAGGCAGAGGAGAAGGAGGCCACGGCGGGCUGACUGGGCGCCAUGCCGGCAGCUGCCUGGAUGCCUCCUCCAUCGCGCUGGCGAGGGGGAUAACCUCCAAAGAGCAUGCAUGGACCCAUCCCUCUCCCCAUUCGCCCCUUUCUUCUCUCCCAUGUCGCUGCUCUGCCAUGGCCGCCGCACCCGAGCGCUCGCUGUCGUAGCCUCGCCUCUCUAGCAGCUCUCCUCCACCUCCGUGUACUCAGAAGCACCGCCGUGUCCUACUGCUGCUCAUCGCCAAGAGAAUCGACGCCAGGAGCUCCCCAAUCGCCGCCCCGAGGUCAUCUUCAACCUCCGGCCACCGGAGUCGCCGCCGUCGAAUCAUCGUCAUCAGCUCGUCCCCGAGCAUGCUUUUAAUGGCUAUGAGACCACCGUGAUAUUGCGAACCCAUUCCCGCUCUUCCGAGGGUCGAUUGCUACUUUGCUAGCCAUAGUUGCUGAUUGCAGACAGGCCCGAAAAGCUCCGCUGAUUGCAGAGAGGCCCGAAAUGCCGGCGAUGCUCUGGUGCUCCUCCAGUCCAGUAGAUGGCACCAUUUCAUUUGUGAGGUUCCGUAGAUGCGGUAGGUGCCCAGAUCGAGCUUGCUUGCCCCCUGUGGCAUCGACCCCGAGCUCACCCGAGCUCCGUCAGCUGCAAGGCUUGCCGCCGCCGACCUUCUGGUCCACCCCAACCCCUGGGGCUGCUUUCAUUAGGUUCGCGGGCGAGAGGCCAUUCUGUAGAUGCUCUUCGUUGGCCAAAUGGUCGCCGGAGGAGGGAUUCCGAUCUCCUCCACCGUGUGUGGUGCCACCGGCGGCUCAACGCGGAUGAGCCUGACCUGUUUGACCACAGGGUUGACUCCCUAGGUCACUCGUAGGUGGGGCCUAGCCCCUAAUUAAAUUCGGAUUAGGAAUAAUUUAACUAAAUUAAUUAAUUAAUCUAAUCAUACAUUAAAAAUGGGCCUAGUCCCACUAAUUAGGAUUAAUGAUUAAAUUCUAAUCUGAGUUAGUGCAUGUGUCACUCACCAGUGGACCCCACUGGUCAAAUUUAACCUCGCAACACUCAUUUGACCUCGUGACCUCAUGUUGACGCAGUGGUAACGCAAUAAAUACUUUUUUGGUUUAAUUUAAUUCCAGAUUUAGGUUAAAACUUCUAAAAUUCAUAGAAAAUAAUGUGUAACUCAGAUUGAAAAUAAUUUAUAUAUGAAAAAAUUAUCACAAAAAAUCCAAGGAAUCCAUUGGUGCUAUUAUCAUGCAUGUUAGAACAAGUUAUACCUACUAAUCAGGUCAAAUUAAUUGAAGGUAUUUGAAUAUACCUUAUUUGAAGUGGAAUUUGAAUCUUUGAUUCAAACUAGCUUCAACCAAUUUGUUAAUAGGUGCAUUAGCUCAUCCAAAAUAUUCUUGUCAUGUCAUGAUCAUUCAUAAUAUUGUUGCACUUGCCGUGUAUUGAUUGUUACUUGUUUGCAUUGCGGUAGGCUCUACUCCACCCGAUACUUCCGAGUAUCAUAACGAAGAAGAGUUUCCCUGUGCUGAUCAUCAAGGCAAGCACCCCUUUUGAGCAUUUCGAUAAAAUCCCAUGUUCUCGCUCAUGAUCUCAUUUAUUGCUUCGAUAGUUGAACCCAUUCCUCUGCAUGACCUGUUAUUGUCAUAGUAAAUAUCUAAACCAUGCAACCUAGCAUACAUGGUAGUUGCUUGAGCCAUGAUGUGCCUUACCUUGCUAUGCUUGCUAUGCUUAGAGUUGUGUCAGGCCUGUUUCAUCUGGAUGAUGAACUGAAGUGAAUGAAAGUGUUCUUGUGACAAAAGUUAAGUGGUGAACCUGAUUUGGUAAAGCUUGUGUAGGAGUACAUGGCGGGUUGUCUCAUUGGAACCGUUCUUAGGAACUGAGUUCCGUGUAUGUGAUCCAAGAUUAGCUGCUACCAUACAUUGGGUUCAGAUAACUCGACCCCUCUCGGCUUAUUAGUCGCCUAGUACUCUGUCCAGGAGUUGCAAGUAGUUUCUCGUGUUUCUAGCUUAUGAUGGGGGCCGUGCAUAACGCUGACCUUAGAGGUGGGCUGUGACGCGGUAGGCAGUGGCACGGUGUACCAAGUGGCACCCGGAUGGUGGGCUUGGGAACCCUGCGCACAUCGUUUUAGGCCGUAGCGGAAACUUCGGCCGGACUUCCGCGCGGGUUCAGUCUCAAAUAGGCGAUAAACCUGGACUAGGUGUUAGUGUGGUUAACGUUCAUGGCUGACUGCCUCGCCAGGCUUCUGCUUGAAGGUUGCCGAGGUGCAGGAAGUGCAUAUAUUGAUAAGUGGCGAGAGCGUGUGUGAAGAAGUACACCCCUGCAGGGUUAUGAUCUAUUCGAAUAGCCGCGUCCUUGGAUAUGGACUACAAAACAUAUGUUGUUCAUAGAUAACUUUAUCGGCUACUCAUAAAAGUAUCAAGACAAGUGUGAGUAUAGUGGAUGACAUUCUCGUAGGGAGACGAGAAAGGAUCCACGGUUGUGUAUUGUCGUGGAGAUAGUGGACUCGUGUACGACUUCUCCAACUUGUUCAAAAGUACUCGUAGUCGUAGCAGAGGUUAGCCAAGAGUCAAAGGUGUAUUACUGCAUGAAACCCCACAACCCCCUUGUUGAUACAUGUGCAUGAGUAGAUAGAUCUGAUUUAAAGUCUUGUUGAGUACUUCCGUCCUCAUGUUUUCUUAAUAACUGUUGCAGACGACACCCACGAACCAUCAGGUGGGUUCUACCUAGACGUUGACGACGCCGAGUAGCUGGUGUCGGAGCUAUGAUCUCGCCCCUUCGGGAGGGAAUUGUAGAUAGUCAGGCUUUAUGCCUUUUACCUUUCAUUUGUCUGUACUCAGACAACUUUAAGAUUCCGCAUGGCUUGUAUGACUUUGUGUGUAUGACUUGAGUGUCGGGUCAUGUGACCCCUACCUGUAUGAACAUAUUAUGCAAGGAUCUUCUGAGCCUUCUAAAUAAAUAGUUGUGAUGUUGUAUGAUUAUGUUGUGAUGCCAUUGUUGUAUCUAUGCAUAUUGAAUAUGUCAUGCGUACGUGUGAUGUGCUGCAAUAUGUAUGGGGGUCGACACCUAGUUGUGUGCCUUUAGUAGUACUCUUUACACGGAAAUGCCCCUUUGUGCUUCCACUCAGCCUUGGUAGCUUGCUACUACUCCAAACACAUUGGUUGACCGGCAUGUAUCCUUUCUUACUGCUGUGUACGUAAUGGUGUGUUUGAACAUCGUAAUUGUACUUUAUUGGAUAUGGUGCAUUCUAUGAUGUCUCUUACCGAUUUGCCACUAUCGUUUUGGUGUUACGCAUUAGAGACAACUGCAUUCACUUUAAAUAGGGCAUUCUCAAAAUCCGUUGAGACGGAACCAUAUGAAUUAUGGUUUGGCAAGAAACCUAAGCUGUCAUUUCUUAAAGUUAGGGGAUGUGACACUUACAUCAAAAGGCUUCAUCCUGAUAAGCUAAAAUCCAAGGCGGAGAAGUAUGUCAUAGGAUACCCAAAGGAAAUAGUUGGGUAUAUCUUCUAUCUCAGAUCCGAAGGCAAAGUGUUUGUUGCUAAGAAUGGGUCCUUUCUACAGAAAGAGUUUCUCUCGAAACUAUUUAGUGGGAGGAAGGUAGAACUUCAUGAGGUUAUUGAACCGUCACUUCCAUUAGAGAGUAGUAGAACAUAGGAAGAUGUUUCUGUGACGCCUACAUGAGUUGAAGAAGAAACUUAUGAUGGGGAUCAUGAAGCUUUAGAUCAAGUUACUACCUAACCUCAUAGGUCGACAAGGACACAUACUGCUCCUGAGUGGUAUGGUAAUCCUAUCUUAGAGGUCAUGUUGUUAGAAAACAAUGAACCUAUGAGGUAUGGAGAAGCGAUGGUGGGCCCGGAUUCCAACAAAUGGCUAGAGGCCAUGAAAUUCGAGAUAGGAUCCAUGUACGAAAACAAAGUAUGGUCUUUGGAAGUAUUACCUGAUGGUCGCAAGGCUAUUCAGAAAAAAUGGAUCUUUAAUAGGAAGACAGACGCGAACGGUAAUGUCACCGUCUAUAAAGCUCGACUUGUUGCAAAGGGGUUUUCAAAAGUUUAAGGAGUUGACUAUGAUGAGACUUUCUCGCCUGUAGCGAUGCUUAAGUUCGUCAGAAUCAUAUUAGCAAUAACUGCAUUUUUUGAUUAUGAAAUCUAGCAGAUGAAUGUCAAAACAGUGAUCCUUAAUGGGUUCCUUAAGGAAGAGUUGUAUACUAUACAACCGGAAGGUUUUGUUGAUCCAGAAAAUGCUGACAAAGUAUGGAAGCUCAAGUGAUCCAUUUAUGGACUAGUGUAAGCAUCUUAGAGUUGGAAUCUUUGCUUUGAUGAGGUGAUCAAACCGUUUGGGUUUAUACAAGUCUAUGGAGAAGCUUGUAUUUACAAGGAAGUGAGUGGGAUCUCUAUAGUGUUUCUAAUAAUAUAUGUUGAUAACAUAUUGCUGAUUGGAAACAAUAUGAAACUUUUGGAAAGCGUAAAGAUAUAUUUGAACAAGAUUUUUUCAAUGAAAGACCUCAUAGAAGCUGCUUACAUAUUAGGCAUCAAGAUUUAUAGAUAUAGAUCGAUAUGCUUAAUAGGAUUUUCACAAAGCACAUACCUUGAUAAGGUUUUGAAGAAGUUCAAAAUGGAUCAGUCCAAGAUGGGGUUCUUGCCUGUCCUGCAAGGUGUGAAGUUGAGUAAGACUCAAUGGCGAGCGACUACAGAUGAUAGAGAAAAGAUGAGUGUCAUCCCCUAUGCCUCGGCCAUAGUAUCUAUCAUUUAUGCAAUGCUAUGCAUAAGUCCAGAUGUUAGCCUUGCCAUAAGUAUGGCCGAAAGGUUUCAAAGUGAUCCAGGAGUAGAACACUUUACAAUGGUCAAGAAUAUCCUGAAGUACCCGAAAAGGACCAAGGAGAUGAUUCUCGUUUAUGGAGGUGAUCAAGAGCUCAUUGUAAAGGGUUACGUCGAUGCUUACUUUGACACAGAUCCAGAUGACUCUAACUCUCAAACCAUAUACAUAUUUAUUCUGAAUGGUGGAGCGAUAAGCUGGUGCAAUUCAAAGCAAAUCAUGGCAGAUGAUUCUACAUGUGAAGAUGAGUACAUAGCUGCUUCGGAAGCAUCAAAGGAAGGUGUCUGGAUGAAGUAGUUCAUGACGGAUCUUGGAGUUGUGUCUAGUGCACUGGAUCCAAUGACCCUCUUUUGUGACAACACUAGUGUCAUUGCUCUAGCCAAGGAACCUAGGUUUCACAAAAGAACCAGACACAUAAAGUGUUGCUUCAAUUCCAUCCAUGAUUAUAUCAAGGAGGAGGACAUAAAUAUUUGCAAAGUGCAUACAGAUCUGAAUGUUGCAGACCCGUUGACUAAACCCCUUCCAUGAGUAAAACAUGAUCAUCACUAGAAUUCUAUGGGUGUUAGAUUCAUUACCACGUAAUACUAGAUUACUGACUCUAGUGCAAGUGGGAGGCUGUUGGAAAUAUGCCCUAGAGGCAAUAAUAAAUUGGUUAUUAUCAUAUUUCCUUGUUCAUGACAAUCCUUUACUAUCCAUGAUAUAAUUGUAUUCAUUGGAAACUCAAAUACAUGUGCGGAUACAUAGAGAACACUGUGUCCCUAGUGAGCCAUUACUAGACUAACUUGUUGGUAAAAGAUGCUUAAGGUUUCCUAUCCAUAGACAUGAGUUAUCUUUGAUAAUGGGAUCACAUCAUUAGGAGAAUGAUGUGAUGGACAAGACCCAAACUGUAAGCAUAGCAUUUGAUUGUAUCGCUAAGUUUAUUGCUAUUGCUUUCUCCAUGUCAAAGUAUGUGUUCCUAAGACCAUGAGAUCAUUCAACUCCGUGACUCCACGGGAAUGUGUUCUGUGUAUCAAACAUCACAACGUAACCGGGUGCUUUUAAAGAUGCUCUACAGGUAUCUCCGAGGGUGUUUGUUGGUUUGGCAUGGAUCAAGACUGGGAUUUGUCACUCCAUAUGACAGAGAGGUAUCUUUGGGACCACUCGGUAAUAGAGCAUCACAAGAAUCUUGCAAGCAAUGUGACUAAGGAGUUAGUCGCAGGAUCUUGUAUUGUAGAACGAGUAAAGAGACUUGCUAGUAACGAGAUUGAACUAGCUAUGGAGAUACCGACAAUCGAAUCUCGGGCAAGUAACAUACCGAUGUACAAAGGGAACUGCAUACGGGAUUGAUUGAAUCCUUGACAUCGUGGUUCGACUGAUAAAGAUCUUCGUAGAAUAUGUAGGAACCAAUAUGUGCAUCUAGGUCCCAAUGUUGGUUAUUGACCGUAAAGGUGUCUCGGUCAUGUGUGCAUAGUUCUCGAACCCGUAGGGUCCACACGCUUAACGUUUGAUGACGAUAUAGUAUUGUUGAGUUAUAUAUGUUGGUGGCUGAAGGUUGUUAGGGGUCCUAGAUGAGAUCCCAGACAUGACGAGCAGCUUCGGAAUGGUUCAUAGGUAAUGAUUGAUAUAUGGGAACUUGAUAUUUGAGUUCAGAAAAGGUUGUGGGACUUACCGGUUUUGUGAAGGAGUUGCAGAAUUGUUUUGUGUGCCCAUUGGGAGGGUGGACCUGUCCCGGAGGGCCCCAUGGCUAUGAGAGGUGGCACACCAGCCCGUGAUGGGUUGGCCGCCCCUCCCCACCUAAGGCCCAUGCGGCCAAGGGCUAGGGCUGGCCCAAGGGUGGCCGCCGUCCCCUUCCUUGGGAGCCAAGGCAGCCCCUUGGCCGCCGCCCACACCCCUGGGGAAACCCUAGGGUCGGCUAUAACGUCCAAGAUGCGGUCCUAUCCUUAAUUUGGCGUGAGGGCCUCGACAGGGAUAUAAACGCAUCUCAUCGUUUCGCAAGAAUGGAUAUCGUUACAAGUAUAUGUACUGAAAAGAUGAGUAUAUGGAUAUGGCUUACACUCGCCACAAACUACAUCAAUAUCACAUCAAUAUAGCAGUAUACAGUCAUCAUGAAGAAGAGCAGGGUCCGACUAUGGAUGAAAACAAAUGGUAAAAGAAUGAUCUCCAUUCUUGCUAUCCCAGGCCACCGGCCUGGAACCCGUCCUAGAUCGAUGACGAGGAGGAAGAAGAAGCAAUUCCAAAUAGCACAAUCAUCGCGCUCACGUCAUAAUAUCACUUUACCUGUACCCGCAACUGGUGUUGUAGUAACCCGUGAGCCACAUGGACUCAACAAUCUCAUUUCCGAAGGUAUCAAGAGUAGCAAAGUUUAAUGGGUGAGGCAUGGUUAAGUGGUGAGGCUGCAGCAAGCGACUAAGCAUAUAUUUGAGGUGGCUAACUUACGAGUACCAGAAUAAGAGGGGGAUGAUCUACGAAUAAUCAGAGGUGAACUAAUGAUGAUCAAAUGAAUGAUCCCGAACACCUACUUAUGUCAGACAUAACCCCACCGUGUCCUCGACGGAGAAGGAGCUCACGAAAGAGACAGUCACGGUUACGCACUCAGUUGGGACAUUUGAAAUAAGCUUACUUGAAGUUAUCUAGAACGAGAUGUUAAACAAAAUUUCCAAGUUGCCACAUAACCAUGGGCACGGCUUUCCAAAAGCUUUAACCCUGAAGGGGUGCUCCAACUAGUCCAUUACAAAUUACCACAAGUCGCAUAGGAAGCCUUGAUCACGAAACUCGUGAUCUUCUCGGAUUCCUUAGUGGGAAACCUCAAUAUAGGUCCAUUAAAUUAAUUAGUACUUAUAUGGUGAUAUAACAAGCCUUCCAUCUUUUUCCAAGUAUAUAGGUCCAUUAAAUUAAUUAGCAGUUAUAUGGUGAUAUAACAAGGAACCAUGUUAUCACAUGGAAGCAACUACACCUGCAACUAGCAAUGCUAUCCAAUGGUUAAGCAAGCAGUAACAUAGACAAUCAGUGGUUUGCUAGGUUGUACAAAGGUUGAAGGUUUUCAUGGCAAUGUUUGUUGGAAAUAUGCCCUAGAGGCAAUAAUAAAUUAGUUAUUAUUAUAUUUCUUAGUUCAUGAUAAUCGUUUAUUAUCCAUGCUAUAAUUGUAUUGAUUGGAAACACAAUACUUGUGUGGAUACAUAGACAAAACACUGUCCCUAGUAAGCCUCUAGUUGACUAGCUCGUUAAUCAAAGAUGGUCAAGGUUUCCUGGCCAUAGGCAAGUGUUGUCACUUGAUAACGGGAUCACAUCAUUAGGAGAAUCAUGUGAUGGACUAGACCCAAACUAAUAGACGUAGCAUGUUGAUCGUGUCAUUUUGUUGCUACUGUUUUCUGCGUGUCAAGUAUUUAUUCCUAUGACCAUGAGAUCAUAUAACUCACUGACACCGGAGGAAUGCUUUGUGUGUAUCAAACGUCGCAACGUAACUGGGUGACUAUAAAGAUGCUCUACAGGUAUCUCCGAAGGUGUUAGUUGAGUUAGUAUGGAUCAAGACUGGGAUUUGUCACUCCGUGUGAACGGAGAGGUAUCUCGGGGCCCACUCGGUAAUACAACAUCACACACAAGCCUUGCAAGCAAUGUAACUUAAUGUAAGUUGCGGGAUCUUGUAUUACGGAACGAGUAAAGAGACUUGCCGGUAAACGAGAUUGAAAUAGGUAUGCGGAUACUAACGAUCGAAUCUCGGGCAAGUAACAUACCGAAGGACAAAAGGAAUGACAUACGGGAUUAUAUGAAUCCUUGGCACUGAGGUUCAAACGAUAAGAUCUUCGUAGAAUAUGUAGGAUCCAAUAUGGGCAUCCAGGUCCCGCUAUUGGAUAUUGACCGAGGAGUCUCUCGGGUCAUGUCUACAUAGUUCUCGAACCCGCAGGGUCUGCACACUUAAGGUUCGACGUUGUUUUAUGCGUAUUUGAGUUAUAUGGUUGGUUACCGAAUGUUGUUCGGAGUCCCGGAUGAGAUCACGGACGUCACGAGGGUUUCCGGAAUGGUCCGAAAACGAAGAUUGAUAUAUAGGAUGACCUCAUUUGGUUACCGGAAGGUUUUCGUGCAUUACCGGAAAAGUUUCGGGCUCAUCGGUAGUGUACCGGGAGUGCCGGGAGGGGUGCCGGGGACCAUCGGGAGGGGUGUCACGCCCCAAGGGGUCUCAUGGGCUAUGGGAAGAGAUAAACCAGCCCCUAGUGGGCUGGAAUAAGUUCCCACUAAGGCCCAUAAGGUUUGAGAAGGAAAAAACACAAGGUGGAAAGAGUUUCCAAGUGGGAAGGUGGAAUCCUACUCCAAGUAGGAUUGGAGUAGGACUCCUCCACCUCCAAUUUCGGCCAAACCUUUAGGUUUUGAGGCUGCCUCCUCCCCUCCCUCCCACCUAUAUAUACGGAGGUUUUAGGGCUGAUUUGAGACGACUUUCUCACGGCUGCCCGACCACAUACCUCCAUAGUUUUUCCUCUAGAUCGUGUUCCUGCGGAGCUCGGGCGGAGCCCUGCUGAGACAAGAUCAUCACCAACCUCCGGAGCACCGUCACGCUGCUGGAGAACUCUUCUACCUCUCCGUCUCUCUUGUUGGAUCAAGAAGGCCGAGAUCAUCGUCGAGCUGUACGUGUGCUGAACGCGGAGGUGCCGUCCGUUCGGUACUAGAUCGUGGGACUGAUCGCGGGAUUGUUCGCGGGGCGGAUCGAGGGACGUGAGGACGUUCCACUACAUCAACCGCGAUCUCUAAUCGCUUCUGCUGUACGAUCUACAAGGGUACGUAGAUCACUCAUCCCCUCUCGUAGAUGGACAUCACCAUGAUAGGUCUUCGUGCGCGUAGGAAAUUUUUGUUUCCCUUGCAACGUUCCCCAACAAUGUUGAGAGGCUUAUUAAACAGGUGGUAGGCAUCGAUACAUAGCGAUAGAAACGGAACAACUAGCAUGGCAAUGAUAGUAAAUGUAUCAAGGGAAAUGAUCAUCUUGCCCAUGAUCUCGCUUGGUAGAAGAACGAAUCGGUGAAGCAGACGAACCGACGUAGUCGAACGGAUCAUCAUAUUCCGGCACGCUUGCGGAACUCUAUCGAGAAGAAGCAAACGGGACAACAAUCAACACACGAUAUUCACCAUGGCACAUGCAUGAUAUGAUGCACAACACACAUGAUCCAUGAUCGAUUCAAUUAUGCAAGGUGCGACACGACAAUUCACAACAAUCAAACACUACACGUUAAGUGAAGCUCAAUAUACAACGAGUUGCAUAUUGACGAAAAUCUACAUUUAAAUAUUUAGCUCACUCUCAUUUAGGUACACGACAAUAUUAAAUGUUGUUAAACAUGGAAAGAGGUGAAUCAUAAUUAAACUAGCUAUCUAGGCAUUUUAAAUGAGGCCGGAAACACCAUAUAGCAUCUCCGAACUUACCUCACACGUGAGCUUAGAAAUCUGUCCAGAUCUGUCCUAAACAUAUUUUUAGUUUGUUAAACGGAAAAACAAGGUGGUUCACGUGAAACUACACAUGAUUAUGGUCGGUUUACAUAUAUAGCUCAUCUCCAACGGAGCUACGGUUAACUAGCUACGAAGUAAAUCGUUUUAACACAUUAUCACGCAAACCAAUGCAAACAACACGUUAAACAGUUAUAAAUAUGCAUGAGAGUUGGAAAAUAUUAAAUUAUGCAAAAUUCUAACCAUUUUACAUAUAUAAGUCAUCCUGAUCCGACGCACAUUUUAAAAGCUACGGGCGUUUUAAAAUAAUGCUAUUUUUCUGAAAUCCCUGGUUAUAUCUAAAUUCGUCCACCGGGAAAAAAUUAACAUGGGCCGAAUCUGGUAAUAGGCACAACCAGACACUGAGCGUUGGAUAGCUGAACUGUGCACGGGCAAGACAUAGCAUGACUGGGGGGGUGCUCACCACAGGGCCACACGGGCCAGCUGAGGGGGAAGGAGGCGCGUGGGCCGUGGGAGGCCGAGCUGGGCCGGCGUAGUGAGGUGGCCCAUGCAACUGGCUCAGGAGGCUAGCGAGCGGGCGGUCGAGGCAUGGCGUCCCGAUGCUCACGCGGGCGAUGGCGCUCAAGGAACACGGCGGCAAGGCGAGGGGGUCCGACGGAGGUUGGAUCCGGCUAGAUCCGACAGGGUUGGAGCUCCGGUGGCCGGCACCAGCUUCCGUGCAGGAGCUCGCCAUGGAGCUCGGGCAAGCUCGUGCUUGACCAUGCAAAGGAUAGAGAAGCAGGGAGGUUAGGGAGAGAGAGAAGGAAGAGAAGGAAGGAUAGGAAAGAAGAAGGUCCGGUGAGUUGCUCCGGUGACUAGAAGGGGCGACGCGGAGGUCCGGCGACGGGGGUGUGGGGCGCAUGCUGGUGGAGGAGCGAGGCAUGGGCUCGGGAGCUCGGGCGGCAGCACGGUUGGCUGGCUCGGGCUCCGGAUGGGCUCUGGUGGGCCAGAUCCGGGCCUGAGCGGGCCUGGCGGCUGGGAGGAGAGAGGAGGUGGGAGAGAGCUCCGGUUAGGGUUAAGGUUAGCACAUAUUUUGAGGAGAGGUCGGAUCUGGGUGUCUACUUAUAGACACGGGUUAAAGUUAGGGUUUUUUAGUCCCGAUUUCGACCGUAGGAUCGCAAAUGGACGGUGCCGGCGGCGCCCUAGAGUUAGGUGGUUGUGUUAGAGAGGCUAGGUGGGGAAGAGAGGUAAGUUGCAGCCCGGAAACGAGAAUUUUAAACACAAAAAAAAACGAACCGACGAUACACCAAUGACGGUGCCUCUACGGUCAACCUUUCGGCUAUGAAACGAACUACGAUUACGACGAAAUUUGGCAAGCGGCCUACCUAUAUUAAAAUAAGACCGCAUGCCAAGUUUCAACCCAAUCCGAGAAUAUUUUUUGGACACUUGUAAAAACAAUAUUUUUAAUGAUGCCACGGGCACGUACAUGUGUGGUUGGUCUUGAAACGGUCAACGACAAUAACGGAGAGAACCGGCAACUAAUAAGAGAUACAGGUUUUGAAAACUGGCGGCAUCGGAGUGCCGAUGCAAUGCGGAUGAUGCGAAUGAUGCGAUGAUGAAUGAGACAAACAACUAAACCACACGACGACAAUGGACUAAAAGGGGAAUCUUCUGGAGCAUCGGACUCGGGGUGUUACAACUCUUCUACACUAACAAGAGAUCUCGCCCUGAGAUCUAAGAAUGAAAAGGGGAAGAGAUAGGCAAAAGGAAGAGGUAAAACUUAGUUUCUUCUUUGACAAAAGAGUGAAACCAAUGAAUCUUGAAGGUUGCAAAGAUAUGAAGAAUGACAUGAGGAACAAUCAAGAAUUGAAACAAAAAUUUGGCAGGACUUCGGUAGAAAAAGAGGACGAAAUUCGAUAAGAUGGAAAGAUCUUGACAAGAUUCACAACAAACCAACUAAUAACAAGAUGAUAGAUUGAAGAGAGCAACAUCACAACAACUCCGGAAAAAGAGAAUAGAAACUAGAUCAUUGGGAAGGAAAGAAGGGAUAAGAAAUGACAACUACUACCAUAAUUGAAUUUGGCAAGCAUCCUUGCAAGAAGAACGGAACGAAGUUGUUGUAAAACCAACAACGAAAAAACAAGCUUGUAGUGGACUUAUGAAAACCAUCCCAAAAUAAUGAGGUGACAACCAGCCACUUACAGAAAGAAGGAUUCAUUGGAUACAACAAGAAAGGCAAAACUUCUUACACCAAGAGGAUAUAUUGAGAACUUGGAUCAACGAUAAUCACCAUAAUAGCCGCAAUCCUUAGAAAAAACUUUAGUUGAAAUCUAAUCCAAGAUAACUCAAUGAAGAAACCAUGGGUUAAAAUAACUCAUGAUGAAGGAAUUGGUGGAUUUAAAGAUCUCAUUCUUGAAACAAAUUCUCUUCAAGACUCCUCCACUAACAAGAAUGCUAUAAUACCACCACAAAGGAUAAAGGAGGAAGACUUGCUCUUUGGAAUGCAAGAGAUAGAAUACUUGAGGUACUACCACAAGAAUCUUGAAGAACACCUUGAGAAUGAAGAGACCAUGAUUCGCCUAACAGAAACUUAAACAAGGCACUCGAAUAAUUGAGAGACGAACGAAGAGACAACAAUUGAGAAGAUUUUGAGGAUGAAAGCUGAAUGCUAAGAAUGAAGAAAUCUCCCAAAAUGAUGGACUUUGGAGGAUAGAGAAUGAAAACAAAUCUGAAAUGUACUGGAUAGAUAUGGAAGGAAUUACUCAUGAGUGGAAACAAUUGAGAAUAUAACACGAAGCUGAGAUGACAAUCUUCAAAAGAAUGGACAAGAUUUAAGAGAAACACUUCUUCAAUCUUCACAAGCUAAGAGCGAUGGCCAGAAUCUCCAACAAGAAUUACUGAGACACUCCGGAAUGAUGAUUAAGAAAAGGUUGAGCCAAUGAUGAAAAUAUAUUUGAAGCGAUCUUGGAGAAAAACUAUUUCCGAUGAAAAUCAUACUUACGUCAUAUAUGAAAAGAGCUUGAGAUAUCUGGGUUAUGGGUGUUGGGUAACGUAGCAUAAAUUCAAAAUUUUCCUACGCAUGUUCAGAUCUUCCUAUGGAGAAACCAGCAACGAGAGAGGGGUAAGAGCAUAUUCGUACCUUUGAAGAUCGCUAAGCGGAAGCGUUGCUAGAACGCGGUUGAUGGAGUCGUACUCGCAGCGAUUUUGAUCUAGUGCCGAACAACGGCACCUCCGCGUUCAACACACGUGCAGCCCGGUGACGUCUCCCGCACCUUGAUCCAGCAAGGAGGAGGGAGAGGUUGGGGAAGAAGUCCAGCAACACGACGGCGUGGUGUUGGUGGAGAGACGAGGUCUCCCGGUAGGGCUUCGCCAAGCGCCGGCAGAGAGGAGGAGGAAGAAGUGCAGGGCUGCGCCGAGGGAGAGGGAAAACCGUGUCCUCCAAAGGCCAAAAGUGCCCACUAUAUAUAGGGGAAGGGGAGAGGGGGUGCCACCCCUAGGGUUCCCACCCUAGGGGGUGCGGCAGCCCUCCCAGAGUGGGGGGUGGUGGCGGCCAGAUGGGGGAGGAGGGGGUGGCGCACCCCUCUGGUGGGCCUAAGGCCCACCUAAGUUAGGGUUCCCCCCUCUCCCCCUUUUUCUGGUGCACAUGGGCUGGGUGAGGGGCGCACCAGCCCACCUAGGGGCUGGUUACCUUCCCCACUUAGCCCAUCUAGCCUGCCGGGGUCGUCACCCCCCUUCGGUGGUCCCCCGGGACCACCUCCGGUGGUCCCGGUGGUCCCUGUACGUUACCGGUGAUGCCCGAAACACUUCCGGUGUCCGAAACCAUCCGUACUAUAUAUCAAUCUUUACCUGCGGACUAUUCCGGAGCUCCUCGUGACGUCCGGGAUCUCAUCCGGGACUCCGAACAACUUUCGGUAAUCUCCUAUUACAAUUCCCUAUAACCCUAGCGUCAUCGAACCUUAAGUGUGUAGACCCUACGGGUUCGGGAGACAGGCAGACAUGACCGAGACACCUCUCGGGCCAAUAACCAUCAGCGGGGUCUGGAUACCCAUGGUGGCUCCCACUAGCUCCACGAUGAUCUCAUCGGAUGAACCACGAUGUCAAGGAUUCAAUCAAUCCCGUAUACGAUUCCCUUUGUCUGUCGGUAUAGAACUUGCCCGAGAUUCGAUCGUCGGUAUACCUAUACCUUGUUCAAUCUCGUUACCGGUAAGUCUCUUUACUCGUUCCGUAGCACGUCAUCGUGUGACUAACUCCUUAGUCACAUUGAGCUCAUGAUGAUGUUCUACCGAGUGGGCCCAGAGAUACCUCUCCGUCACACGGAGUGACAAAUCCCGAUCUCGAUUCGUGCCAACCCAACAGACACUUUCGGAGGUACCCGUAGUGCACCUUUAUAGCCACCCAGUUACGUUGUGACGUUUGAUACACCCAAAGCACUCCUACGGUAUCCGGGAGUUGCACAAUCUCACAGUCGAAGGAAAAGAUACUUGACAUUAGAAAAGCAUUAGCAUACGAACAAUACGAUCUAGUGCUAGGCUUAGGAUUGGGUCUUGUCCAUCACAUCAUUCUCCCAAUGAUGUGAUCCCGUUAUCAACGACAUCUAAUGCCCAUGAUCAGGAAACCAUGAUCAUCUAUUGACUAACGAGCUAGCCAACUAGAGGCUUGCUAGGGACACAUUGUGAUCUAUUCAUUCACACAUGUAUUACUGUUUCCUGUUAAUACAAUUAUAGCAUGAACGAUAGAUGAUUAUCAUGAACAAGGAAAUAUGAUAAUAACCAUUUUAUUAUUGCCUCUAGGGCAUAUUUCCAACAAUGGGCCCACUAAAAGAAGACACCAUUGAAACUAUUGAUUAGGAAGAGAGAUAUUGUACCGGUAUAAGAAAACUUGAUGAGGUGAGAACCUUGAAAUAAUUGAAAGGAUUGAAUACAGGAAGCUUCUGAGAUAUGUUGAAACUCCGGAUAGGACAAAGAGUUAAAAAAACAAGGACUUGAGUAAGAAUUUCCAACAUAGGAAUCAUUGAACAGAAGAAAAGGAUAUGAUGAACACCGAAAUCUUGAAUCGAAUCCACCGGAAAAGAGAACAGGAAUGAAAAAAAUAGAUGAACAUAGAACUCCUGAGAAUCUUCACAAUGAAUCACCGGAUAGAACACAAAAGAGAAGAUAGCGAAAGCAUCAUGAAAAUAAAUGCACUUGGAUGAAAUCCAAUCACUGAAGAAAAUGGCGGGAGGGCGGGGAAAACAAGACAAUUUGGGGCAGAUGAGACAAACUCCACAAUGAAAUGAGAGAUUGAUCUUGCAAAAUUGGAGAGGAUUGAAUUAUUUUGAAGAGAAGCACACCGGUUGAAAAUAAUUGACAUGACGACUCUGGUUGGCAAGAAUUGAUAAGAGAAUUUGAUUGAGCAAAAGAAUUAGCAUUCCCAUAAAAAUAUGAGAACACCACUUAGGAAAGAUAAGAAAUUACUACUUGACAUCGAAGCAACUCGAAUUACCAUAGUACAACAAAACAACAGAUGCGGCUUAUGAAACAAGCCAGAACAAAUUCAUGACAGAGAUCUCGUCCGAUAUUUUCGUUGAUAGGAUCGCACGGGCUCUAUCCUACAGUAGCCAUCAUGUACAUGGCAGUGCACACGACAUACGAAGCAUCUCUGAGUCGUAGCAAGCUACAAGGACUCUUUAAGACACAACGAGAACCAGUGAAGAUGACCGCGAACAAACGAAUCCACUAGAUGUCGAACACCAACCUCACAUCAUGCAUCUGUUGGAAGAUUGUCCUAUAAGUAACUACUUGAAUUCCUACCUAAGAACUUCCGAAAUUUCUGGUCAUGCAAUCAGGUCCACGGAUACAAGGAGAAAUUUAUCACUCAACUCCUAGCAUCUAACCCGUCUAGUGUAUCACAUCCGUCAACACAUAACCAGAAUUUCAGAACCUCAUCUAUCUCAGACCCUCGUAAUCACAAUGAUACUCAGUAUGGCGGUACAUCCAGACCUAUUUGCACAAGUACUGGGGAAGCCAGAGUCCUCUCGCCACUACUAGUAUUGAAGCAAUUUCGAAGAUCCUUCGUCCUGAGAUACUGAGAAAUCUGAAUGAUAACGAUGUGCUCAAUAAUCCCCUGGAGCUCAACUCCCCGGAAGAAAUCAAGUCAGAUGGGAGGCACCAAGACAGAACUCGGUCACAUCGACAUCAUAUAGAUGCCAAAAAUAUCCGCGUGAUCCUAAAAAAAUUGAGUGAGAAGAGGAGUAGAAUUAAAAUUAGAAGUGGAGAAAAAUGAAUCCUACUCUGCGAUAUAUAACUAGACUCAAAGCAAUUUUUCACUAGACUCGACUCGGCCAAGUUCAAUCAAUGAAGGGGGCUCCUAGGUCCGUACUGCUCUGAUACUAACUUGUAGCGUCCAAGAUACAGUCCUAUCCAUAUUUUCGUGCGAGGGCCUCGACAGGGAUAGAAAUGCAUCUCAUCGUUUCACAAGAAUGGAUAUCGUUACAAGUACAUGUAACUAAAAAGAUGAGUAUAAGGAGUUGGCUUACACUCUCCACAAGCUACAUCAAUAUCACAUCAAUACAACAGUAUACAGUAAUCAUGAAGAAGAGUAGGGUCCGACUAUGGACAAAAACAAAUGAUAAAAGAACGACGUCCAUCCUUGCUAUCCCAGGCUGCCAGAGUGGAACCCAUCCUAGAUCGAUGAUGAUGAAGAAGAAGAAGCGAAUCCAAAUAGCACAAUCAUCGCGCUCACGUCAUAAUAUCACUUUACCCAUACCUGCAACUGGUGUUGUAGUAAUCUGUGAGCCAUAGGGACUCAGCAAUCUCAUUUCCAAAGGUAUCAAGACUAGCAAAGCUUAAUGGGUGAAGUAUGGUUAACUAGUGAGGCUGCAUCAAGCGACCAAGCAUUUAUUUGAGGUGGCUAAUGUCGGGACCCCGAUCCUAAGCCAUAGGAAUCCAUCUUGUAACACAUCGCAUCUCUUUGCGGUCUCACGCACGGUUAUCCCCACGGCUGCAGCCUUACCUUAGCCGGGACCGUUUGCGCCUUUUGACUCGCGUAUGCAAUUGUGUCGCUAGCAAUCCAAUGACAAAGAACCCGGAUCGACAUGUCUAGUCAUAAACCAAAGUGGCAGUUCCGCACAGGGACACACAUACAUGACCCAGCAAAGCAGGUGUCGGUCACCAGCAAAUGUAGACGAGUCGUAGCAAGCUACAUGGCCUCCAUUACAUCGCGUGACAUUUCCCCAAAGGGGACAGACACAUCAGCUAAGAAGGACACAUGCCGGUCAACCAAUGUGUCCGGAGCAGUAGCGAACUACCAUGGCUCGUUGGAUCACAAAGGGGCAUUUCCCUGUAAGGAAUGCUACUAAAGCCUACGGCUAGGUAAUCAAACCCCAUACAUAUCAAGUACAACACACGUACGCAUGGCAUACCGAUAUGUAUAGAUACAUCGAUGGCAUCACAACAUAACCAUAAACAUACAAGCUUUAUUUAGAAGGCUCGAAAGAGCCACACACAUAAUAUUACAAGUAUGGGUCUCACGACCCAUCAUCACAAGUCAUACACACAAUUCUUACAAGCCAGCGGAAGAUUUAAAGCUGUCUGAGUACAGACAGAGGAAAAGAUAAAGGCACAUGGCCUGACUAUCUACAUACCCACCCUAGGGCCACACCGUAGCUGGGAUACCAGCUACUCGUCGUCGUCGAUGUCUAGAUAUAACCCUCCAUUAGGGUCAUUAACAACCUCUGCAACAAAUUAUUAAGAAAACGUGAGUACGGAGGUACUCAGCAAGACUUUAGGAUAACUAUCUACUCAUGCAAUGUAUCAAUAAGGAGUUGUGGGGUUUCAUGCGGAAAGCCAACAUUUGAUUCGUGGCUAGACAACUUGCAUUUUUAAAUAAUUUUGACAACUUGAUUUCUCGCACACGAGUCCACUAACACCACAACAAUACUCCAUCGUGGAAUCAUUCCGUCUCCAUACGGAAAUGCCGUCCACGACACUCACGCUUAUCUUGACAAUUUUAGGAGUAGCCAUUAAAGUUAUCUAUGAACAACAUAUGUCUCCAAGUAGUCCAUAUCCGCGGACGCGGCUAUUCGAAUAGAUCAUAACCUUGCAGGGGUGUACUUCUUCACACAUGCUCUCGCCACUUAUCGCCAUGUGCACGUCAUGCACCUCGGCAACCUUCAAGCGGAAGCACAGCGAGGGAGUCGGCCACGACCGUUAACAUCGCUAAUACUUAGUCCAGGUCUAUCGCCUAUCUGAGGGUAACCUGCACGGAAGUCCGGCCGAGGUUUCCGCGACGUCCCCAAACGAUGUGCGCAGGGUUCCCAAGCCCACCAUCUGGGUGCUACUUGGUACACCGUGCCACUGCCUACCACAUCAUAUCCCACCUCUAAGGUCAGCGCUACGCAUGGCCUCCAGCAUGACUAUAAACACCAGAAACUAUUUGCAACUCCUGGACCGAGUACCAAGCAAUUAAUAAGUCAAGCGGGGUCAUAUUUCAGGGCCCAGCAUGUGGUAGUAUCUCGUCUUGGAUUACAUACACGGAACUCAGUUCCUAAGGACGGUUCCAAUGAAACAACCCGCCAUGUACUCCUACAUAGCCUUUCACCGGUACCUUUACCAAAUCAAGUUCAACACACAACCUUUGCUCACCGAACACAUUCCACAUUUCUGUUCAUCUCCCAGAUGACAGACCAUACACAACUCUAAGCAUAGCAUGCAUAGCAGGAUAAGGCACAUCAUAGCUCAAGCAACUACCAGGUAUGCUAGGUUKCAAGGUUCGGCUAUUUACUGUGACAAAGUUAGGUCAUGCAAAGGAAGUGGGUUCAACUAACGUGGCAAAAACAGUUGAAGCAUUUGAUCCUAAUGCAAUAAUUAAGUGCAGAAGCAAGAACAUGGGAAUUAUCGGAAUGAUCAAAGGGGUUGCUUGCCUUGUUGCUCAGAGGAGGAACGAUAUCCGUCAGACGGAUAUUCGGUGGAAUCCGGGGUUGCGGAGCCUACCGAAAUAAAUGGCAACAUUCAAUAACAAUCAUAUGCAAUCAAAAUGAUGCAUGAGCAUGGCAUGAGAAUGCAAGGUGAUAAGUUAUUAUAAUCAACAUGUAUUAGGUUUAGAGUUGUUGAUUUGAAUCAUAUUCGGUAUCACUUCAAACGGGGUAUUCACGGUUACCGAUUUAAUUGAUUCGACCUGAUGCUCAGAUCAACUUGAUGUUGGCUUGCAUGAGAUGUCAUGUUAUGGUACUGAUUUGUAACUAGGACAGUGUGUGAUCAUUGCAAACAUAAUGAAAUUUGAAUUAUUUUUGCAAAUUCCAAUUUAAAAAGUGAUUAUAAGAAUUGAAUUAUUCCUUAUUCCACAAUUUAGGGUUCUGUAACUUUUUCAAACAUAGUUGAAAAUAGCAUAAUCAGAAUCCUUGAAUUUUUCUGAUACUUUUUCAUAUAUAAAUUAUUUUCAUUGGAAUUACAGAUUAAUUUCUAUGAUUUUUACAAGUUUUAGCAAUUUACUAGAAUUAUUUCUAUACUGGAAAUUCUAUUUAUUGCAUCAGACUGACGUCAGCAGGUCAGCCGACCUGUUCAGGUCAAACCUGACAGGGGGGACCCGCUGGUCAGCCUCUCUGGGACUAAUCCCGCGCUGACCAGUCCUAAUUGGGGUUUGACUUGGCCUUGGGCCCACUGUCAGCGAGUGAUUAAGCCCUGAGCUGCUGGGUUAGCUUUGCCACGUCGACCCCCACCAGAGGGUGGUCGCCGGCGACCAGGCCCGCGGCGAAGGGCUCGCCGGAGGCGACCUAAACGGCGCUGCACAGCACCAAUUUGAACGCGGUUUGCACCUACGGCACGCUGGCGAAGUGGCCGAUCUGGCAGGGCUAUCAGGGGAGGGCUAGGGUCUCUGGGAGAGGCGCCGGCGACGAGCCGGAGCGGCGGCCGAAGCUCGGCCUUCUAUGAGAGACGGCUCUAGGGCACGGGGAGGGCAGCUGAGGGGCUCAUCACGCUCCUCGAGGCUCCAGGAGCUCGAACCCUAGCUCGAGCGUGUGGAUCGGACACCACAGCGACGGCGACGACAUGGCCGGCGGCGAGGAGCUCUCGGCCUUGGUGGGGAACGAGGCUACGAUGCACGGGAGAGCGUGGGGCGAGAGGGGAAAUGACGACGAGCUCACGGCGGUUCCGAUGGUGCUGAUGAGGGGCUCGGGGAUGCGCCGGAGGGAGCGAAUCGACGGGAGAGGUCCGGCGGCCGGAGGUGGAAGACGACGGCGUUGGGGGCGGAUGCAGAGCUUGGGGAGACUUCGGCUUCUGCAGAGAUGACCAGGGCGACGAUGCGGAGCUAACAGACUACUCGGAGGAGGGUUCCCAUGGCUAGAGGUGUUGCGGCUCGAGCUCAAGCUCGGCUCCAAUGGCGGCAGCAGGAGGGAGGGCAAGAUCCAAGAGGGGAGGAAGAACGGUGCUGGGGAAUGGAUAGAGGAGACCCUGGGGAGCUUAUCCCCAGCCUUGUCAGCGCGAGGCGGCGGCCAGGCAGGCGCACAGGUGCGUGGCCGCGCCGGAGGAGGCGGCGGCCACCUCCUGCUCCUACUGGCGCGAGGGAGGGGACGAGCCAGGGAGAUGGGCCGGGCSAGGCUAGACGACAGGUAAGGGUUUCCCUAUUUUUUUUYCUUGUUUUUGUUUUUCCGUUUUGCUAACUAUUGUUGUGUUAUUUAUUUCAGCUCCAAAACAAAAAGUAAAAACUAUUUUAGACCUCCUGAAAUAUUGUUAUAAUAUUCCCAACCAUUUCCAAAGUUUUCAACAUUUUUGAAAAUUUAUAGUUUCUGAUUUCAAAUUUCAAUUUUGAAACCACUGGCUUUUGCAUUAAUUUAAAAAAUGCUUAAAGUGUCAAGAAAAUAGUUUUCUCCAAUGCUCAUUUACUUUCAUGAUUUAUCAGAAAGUUUGAACAUUUCUUGAGGCCAUUUUGGGUUCAUUGAUUUCAACUAGUUUGAGAUUUUCUUUAUUUAAAGUAGUAGCUAGGGUUUUGAGUUUUUCCUUUGCCACUAUCUUGUUUUUGUUGAAACUCCUUAGAUGCAAAUGCAAAGAAGACAUGAGCACAAGACUAACUUGCUUAAAGUGUUAGGGAUGUGACAACUCACCCACACUCAAGAGAAUCUCGUCCCGAGAUUUAGAAGUCGUCGGGAAUAACGCAGGAUAUUCAAGUCGGAGACGAUCCUCUCUUUCCCAAGUUGCCUCCUUUUCAGAAUGAUUUGACCAUUGAACUUUAAGAAACUUGAGGUUUCGACGUCGAGUGUUACUCUCAGCUUGAUCAAGAAUACGCACGGGGUAUUCUCGGUAUGAAAGGUUAUCUUGUAGAUCAAGCGUUUCGUGGUCCACUUCACGGAUAGGAUCCGAAAAGCAACGCCUGAGUUGCGAGACGUGGAAAACAUCAUGAACCUUGGAAAGAUGCGGAGGAAGUUCCAACUGGUAGGCAACUUCUCCUCGUUUGGCAGGAAUGCGAAAAGGACCAAUGUAACGAGGAGCCAACUUGCCCUUGAUACCGAAACGAUGGGUACCCUUCAAAGGUGUAACCCGAAGGUAAGCCUUCUCGUCAACUUCAAAGGUCACAGCCUUAUGAUGACGAUCAUAUUGGCUCUUUUGACGAGACUGGGCUGUUUUCAACUUUUCACGAAUAAUGCGAACCUGCUCUUCUGCAUCCUGGAUCAUAUCCGGACCAAAGAGUUGCCUCUCUCCGGUUUCUGACCAAUUAAGAGGUGUUCGACAUCUUCGUCCAUAGAGAACUUCAAAAGGGGCUUUGCCCAAGCUUGAUUGGUAACUAUUGUUAUAAGCGAAUUCGGCGAAUGGGAGGCACUUUUCCCAAUUCAUACCGAACGAUAUAACACAAGCUCGGAGCAUAUCUUCUAGAAUUUGAUUCACUCUUUCUACUUGACCACUUGAUUGGGGAUGGAAAGCAGUGCUAAAAGAUAGGUGAGUCCCCAUGGCAUUCUGAAAACUUUCCCAAACGCGAGAAGUAAAGAUGCUUCCACGGUCCGAGUUAAUCUCCAGGGGAACACCAUGAAGAGACACUAUUCGAGAGACAUAUAACUCUGCUAGCUGGCUAGCUGUUAUACUCUCAUGAACAGGAAGAAAAUGAGCCACUUUGGAAAGACGGUCAAUGACCACAAAGAUAGCAUUAUUUCCUUUCUUGGUCUUGGGAAAUCCGGUAAUGAAAUCCAUGCUAACUUUAUCCCAUUUCCAUUCAGGAAUAGCUAGAGGCUGAAGGGUGCCGGCAGGCCUUUGAUGUUCUGCCUUAACUCGACGACAAACGUCGCAGUUAGCAACGAACUCAGCAAUUUCUCUCUUCAUCCUAGUCCACCAGAACCUCUGGCGUAGGUCCUGAUACAUCUUAGUACUACCGGGAUGAAUGGUGAGAGGAGAAUCAUGAGCCUCCUUAAGGAUUAACUGCCUUAGAUGUGGGUUCUUAGGAACCACUAAACGAUUCUGGAAGAACACAACACCUUGAUCGUUCAUGGAAAAUUCUUUAGCGUUUCCGCUAAAAAUAUUCUCCUUGAUCCGUGAUAUACCCUUGUCACGCUUUUGGCCAGCUAUAAUUUGAUCCUUAAGAGUAGGCUUCGCCACCACGGUAGAAAGGAAUCCUUGAGGAACAAUAUGAAGAUUCAACUUCCGAAAGUCCUCAUGGAGAUGUGGUUGACCUUGUUGUAGCAUCAAAUUGUUACAAUAAGAUUUACGACUUAGCGCAUCGGCCAUAACGUUGGCCUUCCCCGGGGUGUAAGUUAUCCCUAAGUCGUAAUCCGAGAUCAACUCAACACACCAUCUUUGCCUGAGAUUCAAAUCCGGCUGGGUGAAGAUAUACUCCACACUUUGGUGAUCAGUGAAUAUUUCGCAACGAUUACCCAGAUGGUAAUGUCGCCAGGUUUUUAGUGCAUGGACCACAGCUGCAAGCUCAAGGUCAUGUGUGGGACAAUUAUCCUCAUGUGGACGCAACUGUCGAGAUGCGUAUGCGAUCACUUGACGAUCUUGCAUGAGAAUGCAACCCAAUCCUUGUCGCGAGGCGUCGCAGUAGAUAACAUAGUCCUUAGAGAAAUCUGGUGGUAGCAACACAGGAGCGGAAGUCAGGCGUCUUUUCAGUUCCUGAAAACUAUGCUCACACUGUGGUGUCCACUCGAACUUUUUAUAUUUCUUGAGGAGUUCAGUUAGAGGCUUUGCAACCUUGGAGAAAUUCUCGACAAAGCGGCGACAAUAGCUCGCUAGACCAAGAAAACUCCUAACUUGCUUAACCGAUUCAGGUUGAGUCCAAUCAAGGACAACUUGAACUCUCUCGGGAUUGACAUCAAUACCCUUACCAGAGAUUACGUGGCCUAGAUAGGUCACUUCUGGUAACCAGAAUUCACAUUUUGAAAAUUUGGCAUAAAGGCGAUGCUCUCGAAGUUUCAUCAAUACCAGCCUUAGAUGCUCGGCAUGUUCUUGUUCAUUCUUCGAGUAGAUGAGAAUAUCAUCGAGGUAUACUACGACGAAUUUAUCCAAAUACUCCAUGAAGAUUGAAUUCAUCAGAUGAGAGAAGGUGGCUGGGGCAUUGGUUAAACCGAAGGACAUAACGGUGUACUCAUAUUGGCCAUAACGAGUAACAAAAGCCGUUUUUGGAAUGUCCCCGUUCUUAAUCUUGAUUUGAUGGUAUCCCAACCUCAAAUCCAUUUUGGAGAAGAGCGAGGAUCCAGCGAGCUGAUCGUACAGGUCGUUGAUCCUGGGGAGCGGAUACUUGUUCUUUAUGGUGACCAGAUUAACUGGUCGGUAAUCUACAACCAUCCGAUCCGUUCCGUCUUUCUUAUUGACAAAGAGGACAGGACAAGCCCAAGGAGAAGAGCUAGGACGAAUGAAACCUUUGUUCAAGGCCUCAUCUAAUUGAUUUUUAAGUUCGGCUAGCUCCAGGGGUGCCAUCUUAUAAGGUCUUCUGGCUAUUGGGACAGUUCCCGGAACAAGAUCUAUCACAAACUCUACAUCUGUGACAGGUGGAAUUCCUGGCAGUUCCUCUGGAAAAACAUCCGGGAAGUCACGGACUACCGGAAUGUCUUCAAGUUCCGGAAGAGGGUUGGCAUUUAGGGAAUAGAGUUGGCAUUUGGCAACUCGAGUGGAGACAUUUACUAUCUCACCCGAGGGAUGGGUAAGCUGGACAUUUCUAGAAUGAGUAUCAAUCUUGGCAUAGUGAGCUGACAUCUAGUCCAUGCCCAAGAUGAUAUUAAUAUCCAAAGAUUUCAAGGCUAUCAAUGAGGCUAGAAAAACUAGCCUGUCUACUAGAAUUUCAUCGUCGUAGGUUAUCCUAGAGGUUUUCCAUUUACUACCAGGGGUUUGGACAACCAAUGGGAUUGGCAUAUCACAAAAAGACAUGUUAUGCAACUGUGCAUAACUUUCUGAAAUGAAGGAAUGAGAAGACCCAGUGUCAAAGAGACUGGACGCUGGGUGAUGAUUAACAAGAAGCGUACCCAGCAUGACGUCGGGAUCCUCUGCAUCUUCUUCUGCUGACACAUAGUUCACACGGCCACGUGCAGGAGUUGGCUUCACAUAGUACGCUUUGCCCGACUUGGCCUGCCCGACGGACUUUCCGGGUUGCUUGGCACCCACAUUCUGAGGACACUCACGGGAAUAGUGCCCUGGUUCUCCACACUUGUAGCAUAUCACUUGGUUGGCACGUGGUGCAGCAUUGAUAGCUGGACCACCAUAAGCUUUUGCUGGAGGGUUGGCCUGAUUCGUCUGAGGCGCCACGUAGGAUGGCCUCGGAGUGUAUCUUGGUGGGAGAGAACUGUUUGGAACCCAUAGCCUGCGUUUUGGAAACGCGGAACCAGAAGACGAGCCAAAGUCACGGGAGUGCUUCCUUGUGGCUUCGAAGUCAGUAUGACCAGUCUCGGCACUGAUCGCUUUGUUGACCAGAGCUUGAAAACUUGCACACUCAUGGAGGUGCGGAUCACGACGGAGCUUAGGGCUCAGACCCUUACGGAAUCUUGCUUGCUUCUUGGCGUCAGUAGACACUUCCUCUGUUGCAUAGCAGGCGAGGUUACCGAACUCGCGGCUAUAGGCAUCCACAGACAACUUGCCCUGAGUGAAGGCACAUAACUCCUCUCUCUUUCUGUCCAUCAGGCCCUCUGGAAUAUGGUGCAGACGAAAAGCUGCACUGAAGUCUGCCCAUGUGGCCACUGGUUCAGCGGGACGCAUAGCUUCAAAAUUCUCCCACCACAGAUUGGCGGGUCCUUCCAGAAAAUACGCCGCAAAGGUCACCUUGUCGGCCUCAGACACAUUCGCAGAGCGAAUCUUGCGUGAGAUGCUGCACAGCCAGUCAUCAUCGUCGAGGGGAUCGAUGGAAUGAUGAAACUUUGGAGGAUUCAGCUUCACAAAGUCAUUGAGGGACACUGCAACAUUCCUAGGCUGUCGAGCCGUAUUCUGCUCAAUACGCUCUAGCAGUCGGUUGGUCUCCCUUUUGUUUCUUUCUGCCUCAAGCAUCACUUCUACCAGAGAAGGUGGGUGAGGCAGGUCUUCCUGUGACGCUUGACUACCCUCACCUUGCUCAUGAGCAGGGGCACGGUUCAACCUGGUGAACACCAUCCUGACAAACAAACUCAUAGCUUAGACCAACAUCAUAUCAAUACUAGCUAUGGAUUAAGAAUGUACUGAACACACGGAAUGCGGAAAUUAAUAUCCGAACCACAUGGUAACAAGCAACUGCUAUAUAUACACCAUGGUUCAUACACACCCUUACAUAGUUUAGUACAACCUUAACCAAAGAGCAAACUACUGAAAUUAUGAAACUACUCAUCAGAGGCUUACAAGCUUCCUAUACAUUAUUUAUCUAGGCCUCCGGAAUUCAUUUCACAUUACAGGCAUACUUCACAAGUCAUGCAGGACUGUGAACGUACGGCUACUACCAUACUAUCCUUCCGCUCACAGCUCAGGCAUCCGCAUAGAACAUCUCAUAGAGAUUACCUCCAUGGCCUGGAAGCUCAACCUGCGGAUCAGGAAACACCCCAGCCUGAGAUCCCUGGGAUCCAUAAGGACACGGAUGUGGCCUUGGUCCCCUGACUGGUGGUAAGAGGGGUCCCCGAAGAGGUGUGACUCCUCCUAUAGCUAGCUAGUCAACGUGGGCCGGAAGAUGGGUCCUAACAGGAUUCAGCAUCUCCAUCUCUCCAUACCUUGUCUGGACUACCGGUGCCAGCUGCGUCAAAGCUGUCCACAGACGGGCACGGGUAGCAUAAAGCUCCAUGCGGAGAGCACGAGCAUCCCUGUCUCUGUUCUCUAGCAUCUCAACAGUGGACUGCAGUAGUGGAUCCUCCAUAGAAGAAUCAAAAUAGACUGCACUGAGGUAUCCCUCUUCACCAGGCUGAGAGGCCGGAACAUAGCACAACUCUGAAUUCUGCAGCAGUGCAUGUCUCGCUCUCAUAAUGGUCAGCAUUGAAUAGGCAGCAUCCUGUACUGCCAUGUCAACGGUGACCCCCAACCCAUAGGACCAAUGGAUUGGCUUCUCAGCUCCAAGGUAGUCUGGAAAUACCCUAACAGUGCAGAUGUACUGGCCCUGGUUGAAGUCUCGGUACUGUUCCUCCACUGUGUACUCGGGGUACCAGCGGUAACCGCACACCGACAUCACCCUGACCAGCAUGGCCGUAUGACCCGGCACAUCAAUGCACCUGGUCAGACGUACCACCUGACGAGAAGGACGGCCAGGCAUCUGUAAAUAGAGAGUAAUGCAAAAGCAUUAGAGCUCCGAAUGCAAAAUUGGGCAGCAUAACGGCUGUAAAUGCUCAAAACAAAUUUGAGACAACCCAAAAUGGAAUAGCGUAACCACUCAACUAUCAAGUUCAACUCUCUGAUCAUCAAACCUACUUCCUUUUCCUAGGAAUGACAGAAACCACAUAUCUCUUGACCCGUAGUCCUAUAAUCUACCGAUCAGAACACGAGCCUAGAAGAAGAUGAGUAACCUAGUCCUUAAUUCCCGCAGAAAAGAUGGGGAUGACCAGAAUAGAAUAACUUGAGAAGAGAACAAGAGUCCUACGUUCCCUUCCACAAACAAUUCCCAUAUAUAUAACUAAAGCAAUUCUAGACUCAACUUCGACCAGUUUAGCUUAGUACUCCUACAGUCAGUCAGGCUCUGAUACCAACGCUGUCGGGACCCCGAUCCUAAGCCAUAGGAAUCCAGCUUGUAACACAUCGCAUCCCUUUGUGGUCUCACGCACGGUUAACUCCACGGCUGCAGCCUUACCUUAGCCGGGGCCGUUUGCGUCUUUUGACUCACGUAUGCGAUAGUGUUGCUAGCAAUCCAAUGUCAAAGAACCCGGAUCGACAUGACUAGUCAUAAACCAAAGUGGCAGUACCGUACAAGGACAGGCAUACAUGACCCAACAAAGCAGGUGUCGGUCAUCAGCGAAUGUAGACGAGUCGUAGCAAGCUACAAGGACUCCAUUACAUCGCGUGGCAUUUCCCCAAAGGGGACAGACACAGCAGCUAAGAAGGACACAUGCCGGUCAACCAAUGUGUCCGGAGCAGUAGCGAACUACCAAGGCUCAUUGGAUCACAAAGGGGCAUUUCCUCGUAAGGAGUGCUACUAAAGUUCACGACUAGGUAAUCGAACCCCAUACAUAUCAAGUACGACACACGUACGCAUGGCAUACCGAUAUGUAUAGAUACAUCGAUGGCAUCACAACAUAACCAUAAACAUACAAACUUUAUUUAAGAGGCUCGGAAGAGCCAUACACAUAAUAUUACACAUUAAGGGUCUCACGACCCAUAAUAACAGUCAUACAAUUACAAGCGAGCAGAAGAGUUAUAAACUGUCUGGGUACAGACAGGGCAACUAGAAGGCACAUGGCCUUACUAUACUACAGAGCCGACGUAGGGCCAGAUCGUAGCUGGGACACCAGCUACUCGUCGUCGUCGAUGUCUACGAAGAACCCUCCAUUAGGGUCAUUAGCAACCUCUGCAACAUUUAUUAAGCAAACAUGAGUACGAAGGUACUCAGCAAGACUUUAGGAGAACUAACUACUCAUGCAAGGUAUCAAAAGGUAUUGUGGGGUUUCAUGCGGAAAGCCAGCAUUUGACUCGUGGCUAGACAACUUGCAUUUUUAAAUAAUUUUGACAACUUGAUUUCUCGCACACGAGUCCACUAACACCACAACAAUACACUAUCGUGGAAUCAUUCCGUCUCCGUACGGAAAUGCUGUCCAUGACACUCACACUUAUCUUGGCAAUUUUAUGAGUAGCCCUUGAAGUUAUCUAUGAACAACAUAUGUCUCCAAGUAGUCCAUAUCCGCGGACGCGGCUAUUCGAAUAGAUCAUAACCCUGCAGGGGUGUACUUCGUCACACACGCUCUCGUCACUUAUCGCCAUGUGCACGUCAUGCACCUCGGCAACCUUCAAGCGGAAGCCCAGCGAGGGAGUCGGCCACGACCGUUAACCACACUAGUACCUAGUCCAGGUUUAUCGCCUAUCUGAGAGUAACCCCUACGGAAGUCCGUCCGAGGUUUCCGCCACGGCCUCAAACGAUGUGCGCAGGGUUCCCAAGCCCACCAUCCAGGUGCCACUUGGUACACCGUGCCACUGCCUACCGCAUCACGGUCCACCUCUCAGGUCAGCAGCAUGCACGGCCUCCAGCAUUACUAUAAACACCAGAAACUACAUGCAACUCCUGGACCGAGUACUACGCGAUUAAUAGGCCGAGCGGGGUCAUAUUUCAGGCCCCAGCAUGUGGUAGUAUCUAGUCUUGGAUUACAUACACGCAACUCAGUUCCUAAGGACGGUUCCAAUGAAACAACCCGCCAUGUACUCCUACACAGCCUUUCACCGGUACCUUUACCAAAUCAAGUUCAACACACAACCUUUGCUCACCGAACACAUUCCACAUUUCUGUUCAUCUCCCAGAUGACAGACCAUACACAACUCUAAGCAUAGCAUGCAUAGCAGGAUAAGGCACAUCAUAGCUCAAGCAACUACCAGGUAUGCUAGGUUGCAAGGUUCGGCUAUUUACCGUGACAAAGUUAGGUCAUGCAAAGGAAGUGGGUUCAACUAACGUGGAAAAAACAGUUGAAGCAUUUGAUCCUAAUGCAAUAAUUAAGUGCAGGAGCAAGAACAUGGGAAUUAUCGGAAUGCUCAAAGGGGUUGCUUGCCUUGUUGCUAAGAGGAGGAACGAUAUCCGUCAGACGGAUAUUCGGUGGAAUCCGGGGUUGCGGAGCCUACCGAAAUAAAUGGCAACAUUCAAUAACAAUCAUAUGCAAUCAAAAUGAUGCAUGAGCAUGGCAUGAGAAUGCAAGGUGAUAAGUUAUUAUAAUCAACAUGUAUUAGGUUUAGAGUUGUUGAUUUGAAUCAUAUUCGAUAUCACUUCAAACGGGGUAUUCAGGGUUACCGAUUUAAUUGAUUCGACCUGAUGCUCAGAUCAACUUGAUGUUGGCUUGCAUGAGAUGUCAUGUUAUGGUACUGAUUUGUAACUAGGACAGUGUGUGAUCAUUGCAAACAUAAUGAAAUUUGAAUAUUUUUGCAAAUUCCAUUUAAAAAGUGAUUAUAAGAAUUGAAUUAUUCCUUAUUCCACAAUUUAGGGUUCUGUAACUUUUUCAAACAUAGUUGAAAAUAGCAUAAUCAGAAUCCUUGAAUUUUUCUGAUACUUUUUCAUAUAUAAAUUAUUUUCAUUGGAGUUACAGAUUAAUUUCUAUGAUUUUUACAAGUUUUAGCAAUUUACUGGAAUUAUUUCUAUACUGGAAAUUCUAUUUAUUGCAUCAGACUGACGUUAGCAGGUCAGCCGACCUGUUCAGGUAAAACCUGACAGGGGGGACCCACUGGUCAGCCUCUCUGGGACUAAUCCCGCGCUGACCAGUCCUAAUUGGGGUUUGACUUGGCCUUGGGCCCACUGUGAGCGAGUGAUUAAGCCCUGAGCUGCUGGGUUAGCUUUGCCACGUCGACCCCCACCGGAGGGUGGUCGCCGGCGACCAGGCCCAUGGCGGAGGGCUCGCCGGAGGCGACCUAAACGGCGCUGCACAGCACCAAUUUGAACGCGGUUUGCAGCUACAGCACGCUGGCGAAGUGGCCGAUCUGGCAGGGGCAUCAGGGGAGGCUAGGGUCGCCGGGAGAGGCGCCGGCGACGAGCCGGAGCGGCGGCCGAAGCUCGGCAUUCUAUGAGAGACGGCUCUAGGGCACGGGGAGGGCAGCUGAGGGGCUCAUCACGCUCCUCGAGGCUCCAGGAGCUCGAACCCUAGCUCGAGCGUGUGGAUCGGACACCACAGCGACGACGACGACAUGGCCGGCGGCGAGGAGCUCUCGGCCUUGGUGGGGAACGAGGCUACGAUGCACGGGAGAGCGUGGGGCGAGAGGGGAAACGACGACGAGCUCACGGCGGUUCCGAUGGUGCUGUUGAGGGGCUCGGAGAUGCGCCGGAGGGAGCGAAUCGACGAGAGAGGUCCGGCGGCCGGAGGUGGAAGACGACGGCGUUGGGGGGCGAUGCAGAGCUUGGGGAGACUUCGGCUUCUGCAGAGAUGACCAGGGCGACGAGGCGGAGCUAACAGACUACUCGGAGGAGGGUUCCCAUGGCUAGAGGUGCUGCGGCUCGAGCUCGAGCUCGGCUCCAAUGGCGGCAGCAGGAGGGAGGGCAAGAUCCGAGAGGGGAGGAAGAACGGUGGUGGGGAAUGGAUAGAGGAGACCCUGGGGAGCUUAUCCCCGGCCUUGCCAGCGCGAGGCGGCGGCCAGGCAGGCGCACAGGUGCGUGGCCGCGCCGGAGGAGGCGGCGGCCACCUCCUGCUCCUACUGGCGCGAGGGAGGGGACGAGCCAGGGAGAUGGGCCGGGCCAGGCUAGGCGACAGGUAAGGGUUUCCCAUUUUUUUUCUGUUUUUUUUUCUGUUUUGCUAACUAUUGUUGUGUUAUUUAUUUCAGCUCCAAAACAAAAAGUAAAAACUAUUUUAGACCUCCUGAAAUAUUGUUAUAAUAUUCCCAACCAUUUCCAAAGUUUUCAACAUUUUUGAAAAUUUAUAGUUUCUGAUUUCAAAUUUAAAAUUUGAAACCAGUGGCUUUUGCAUUAAUUUAAAAAUGCUUAAAGUGUCAAGAAAAUAGUUUUCUCCAAUGCUCAUUUACUUUCAUGAUUUAUCAGAAAGUUUGAACAUUUCUUGAGGCCAUUUUGGGUUCAUUGAUUUCAACUAGUUUGAGAUUUUCUUUAUUUAAAGUAGUAGCUAGGGUUUUGAGUUUUUCCUUUGCCACUAUCUUGUUUUUGUUNNNNNNNNNNNNNNNNNNNNNNNNNNNNNNNNNNNNNNNNNNNNNNNNNNNNNNNNNNNNNNNNNNNNNNNNNNNNNNNNNNNNNNNNNNNNNNNNNNNNCUACACUAAGAAGAAUAUUNUUCUAACCUARWMMAAAGUAWUUAAUUAAAAAAAUUGAAACUUAUACUACAGAAAGAUAUAAUCAUUAGGAAGCAGUAGCAAAAAGAAUCAAAUAAAAAUAUAUUUUUAAACUCCUCGAAUAAGCAAAACAAGGUUUAAACUAAAUCUGAUCUAAUUCAAAUUUGAAAAAUUCAAACCUAGACAAAUAAUAUGUUUUUGAAAACUACAGAAAUAUUGUGAUUUACUGGAACACGUUUCUACUCCAUUGGAAUUCUGGAUCAAAAGUUAUGAUCGAAACAAGAUUUAAACUUUCUCGGUUUUGGAAUUAAUACAGAAAAAGRAAAAAAAACUGAUUCUAACGGACAGUGGUACAUGUGGCAGUCCCUGAUUGGUUGUCGGGUGUGUUUGCUGCGGGAGUAGUAAGAAAAUGGCCGAUAUCUAGUGAAAACGUGUCGGCUCAGUCUAAGUGGAUAGAAAACCGGGCUGGUUUUAUGUAAAAACCCGAAGGGGUACACCACAUCUAAUCUGCACCGCAUGCUUUAGAUCUAACGGCUACCGAGGGGGUGGGGGUGCUCACCGGUGGGGAGUUGCUGGUGCUCCUUCUCCGGCGAGGCAGAGAAGGUGGCGGUCGACGGGGAGGGCCCUCCGGCGGUCUUCGGCGGCGGCUGAGGUGACGGGGAUGUUGCGGGGAAGCUCCGGCAUCCUAGGGAAGUGACAGCGAGGCGAGAGAGAGUCGGGGCGUCGUGCUCGAGCACCUCGACUUCUUGGUGGCGGCCUAACUCCGACGUGGUUGGGGGUGAGGCGUGGCGGCGUGGGAGCUCGGGCCUUAGGUGAAAGAUGGAACGCGGCGGCCAUGGGGAAGCUCGUGGCGGCGUCGGUUGGGGCGGGGAGGCGAGCGAUGGCGCGGGGGAUGGCAGGGCGUUUUUCUSUSGAGCUUUUCUCCUGCGAGGGAGCAGGGCAGGGGCGAGGUGGUGAUGCGGCGUGGGGAGGAGGGGCCGAGGGGGGGCGUGGGGCRGCGGCUUAUAUAGGGGGGAGGGGGCUCGAGGGAAGGAAAGGGCUCGCGGAUCCGAGCGGAUCCCGGCGAGGCAGUAGUCUCGCCAUGGAAGGGAAGAGCUCGCACGGGAAGAAAGGAAGGAGACCGAGGGGGAGAGAGAUCGGGCGUGGGGGCCCAGCUACACAGAGAAAGGNNNNNNNNNNNNNNNNNNNNNNNNNNNNNNNNNNNNNNNNNNNNNNNNNNNNNNNNNNNNNNNNNNNNNNNNNNNNNNNNNNNNNNNNNNNNNNNNNNNNACUUGCGCUUACCCGACGACGGGAGGUGGAAGAGAAGAGAGGAGAGGAGAAGUCAAUCAAUCAAACCCUACGAUGCGGGGAAACCAUUGGGGGCUCGUGUGGUAUUUACAGAGGGCAUGGAGCUGGUGGCGGCGAUGGGUUUCCAGGAAGGAGUCGGUGCGUGUGGUGGCGGUUCGAACUUUUUCCAGUCGUGGUCGGAGAUGAACCGACGUCGGAGGGCCACGCGGAUUUGGUGGGAAGGGAGGGAAAUCCUUAUUCGUCGCAUUCUCUGUCGAAAUGUCGAGGCUUCGCACACGGGUAUUCAUAAAUGGGCCGGUCCAUUUACAUGUUCAACACCUUCGGUUUCG